UAAAAAUAAGUUUGAGGUUUUCUAUGAAAUUGAACAUCUACGAACAUUCUUGCCAUUACGCUUACGCAUGCGAGGUACUUUUUUCAUAACUAGAACGGUUCUAUCUGAUUUGCUGCCAAAGUUCAAAAAAUUGAGGAUGCUAUCUUUAGAAGGAUACUGUAUUGGUGAGUUACCAAUUCCAUUUGAAGAUCUCAGACUUUUAAGGUUCCUCAACCUCGCUGACACUGACAUAAGAAGUUUACCUGAGUCAACAUGCAAAUUGCUGAACUUGGAAAUUCUGAUAUUAAGAAAGUGUUCCCGCUUGAUAAAGCUUCCCCAGAAAAUGAGGAAUUUGAUCAAUUUACGUCAUCUGGAUAUAAGAGGUGCACAGCAGCUGAAGGAGAUGCCAUUUGGAAUGAAAGAGUUGAAGAAGCUUCAAACAUUGUCCAAUUUUAUUGUGGGCAAGGGUGAAACUGCAUCCGGUGUGGAAGAUUUAAAAUGUUUAAGCUUUCUUUGUGAUGAACUUUGCAUUGCUGGAUUAGAGAAUGUGAAUAAUCCACAGAAUGCAAGAGAAGCCGCAUUAUGCGAGAAGCACAAUCUUGAAGCAUUGACUCUAGAAUGGGGGUCUCAAUUUGACAAUUCUCGAGAUGUAGCAAUAGAAGAGCACGUGCUUGACAUUCUACAGCCUCAUAAAUGUAUAAAAAAGGUGGCAAUCAGGAGCUAUGGUGGUGCAAGAUUUCCACUUUGGAUAGGAGAUCCGUUGUUCUCCAAGAUAGAAUUCCUUGAAUUGGAGAACUGUGACAAUUGUGUAUCUUUGCCAUCGCUUGGCCGUUUGAGUUCACUUAAACACCUUGCUGUUAAAGGGCUGAAGAAACUAAAAAGCAUAGAGCCUGAGGUUUAUGGGGAGGGUUUCUCAACGCCUUUUCCAUCAUUGGAGAUUCUAAGUUUCGAGAAUUUGACAGAAUGGGAGCAUUGGGACACGGAUAUCAAAGGAAAUGCACUUGUUGAAAUAUUUCCUCGUCUCCAUAAACUUUCCAUUGUGAAAUGUCCCAAACUCUCUGGAGAACUGCCUGAGCUCCUGCCCUCCUUGGAGACACUUGUUGUUAGUAAAUGUGAAAAGUUGGUAGUUCCAAUGUCUUGCUAUCCGAUGCUCUGCAGAUUAAAAGUUGAUGAGUGCAAAGAACUGGUCUGCCGGACUCCAAUUGAUUUUAAGUUGAUAAAGUCUGUGACUAUUUCAAAUUGUUCACUAGACAUGUAUGGAUGCAAGGGGAUGCUAUACAAUGGUCCAGCUGGCUCUUCACUGCCGAAAUCCAUGACUAUUACAAAUGUUUUGGCGUUUGGAAAAUUAUUGAAGCCUGGAUUUCAGAUAUUAGAAACUUUGGUAAUUGACAAUUCUGAACAGCUCAAGUCAUGGAGGCAGCGUGGGGAUUUUCGACAAGAAUAUUUGGGCGUUCGCGUAAGGCGUCACAAACCAUCACAAGGGCUAGAUAUGCUCGCCUCCCCAGAAGAGGUAACAAUUGAAGAAAGUUGUGUGAGUUUUGUUUUAUUUCCAGAGAUCAAUUUCUUUCCCAGAAAUCUGCGCUCUCUUCUAAUUUGCAACAGCACAGCUUUAAAAUCCUUACCCGAUGAAAUGAUGGACAAUUCACAACUCGAAAGGUUGUAUAUCAGAGAUUGCGAUUCUCUAACAUUCAUCACAAGACGCAAGCUACCUUCAUCUCUAAAAAGUAUAGAGAUUGAGAAUUGUGAGAAACUGCAACAUUUGUUCGAUGAUAAAGAGGAUGCUUCUUCUUCUUCUCCUCCUUCAUCCUCGUCCUCCCCAGUGAUGCUGAAACACCUGAGUAUAAAUAAUUGCCCAGUGCUCACCAGUUUAUCAACAGGAAUCCAAUUACUUGAGGCGCUUGAAAGCCUCGAGAUACGGGAUUGUCCAAAGCUGGAGUCAUUACCAGAUGGCCUUCACAAUCUUAACUGUUUACAGGAGAUUACUCUAAACAGUUGUCCAAGUCUUGUUUCCUUCCCAGAAAGAGGACUUCCCAACACGAUUUCAAAUCUUGUAUCGUUUCCAGAAGAAGGUUUUCCUACCAAUCUAACAUCACUUACAAUUGGAUAUUUCAAAAUGUAUAAGACACUCGUCCAGUGGGGGUUGCACAGGCUUACCUCUCUUAAACGCCUCUGCAUCAUUGGAUGUGAUGAUGAAGCAGAGUGUUUUCCAGACGAGGAGAUAGGAAUGACGCUGCCCACCUCUCUCACUCAUCUGACACUUUCGGAAUUCAAAAAAUUGAUAUCUCUGUCUUCGACGGGUAUUCAGAGCCUCAACUCUCUUCAAUCUUUGUCGAUCGGGAAUUGCCCGAAUCUCACAUCAUUUCCAGAGGUGGGCCUUCCAUCCUCACUUUUGGAAUUACACAUUUACAGUUGUCCAAAGCUUAAAAAAGCGUGCAAAAGAGAUCAAGGAAAAGACUGGCCCAAAAUUGCUCACAUCCCUUUCGUUGAGAUAGACGGUAAAUUCAUAUACGAUCCCGAAUCAGAGGAGUAGAUUCUAUUACACAGGUCAGUUGAUUUAUAUUAUCCGCUAUAACAAGCUCCUCCUUUUUUAUUUUUUUUAAAUAAUAAUUUUGCAGUCAGUCACGUGAUUCCGUUUUCACAAGUCAGAUUGUAUGUUGAGGCUAUUUGCCUUUUAAUCGCAGAUUAAAUUAUAACACUUAUCUUAAAAUUUAAUACCAUAGACAGAUAGACGAUUUUUUAAUCCAAAGUUUUUUUUAUUCACUUCAGUUAGCAUUUUUUUUUCCCCCAAAUCAUGCAAGCCGAGAGUUUCAAUCAAGAAUUGGAGGAUGUGAAUGGGAUUUUUGUGAAAGAGUAACAUAAUGGAUGACCGAACAUUUCAUCUGUGAUCUCAAAGUCAACAGAAUUUUAUUCACUCAUUGACUUUUCAACUGCCGUGGUUUUUAUGGGUGAAAGAUAAGGGCAAUUACAAAAAAUUUGCAAAAUUUGUCAAUUUCUUAGAUGGUAGAUAUAUCGACAUUUUAGAUUUCAGAUAUUUGUCACCAAUUUGCAAAAUUGAAAUUUCUGUCUUCAAUGGGUUUUCAAAGCCUCGCCUCUCUUCGAUUUUUGUGGAUUGGGAAUUGCACAAAUCUCACAUCAUUUCCCGAGGUCGAGGAAAAGAGCGGCCCAAACUUGCUCGCAUCCCUUGGGUUAUGAUAGAUGGAAAAUUCAUGUACGAUCCAGUCAGAGGUGUUGAUUCUCUUAUUAAGGUCAGCUGAUUUCUAUUAUCCACUCUGACAAUCUCCUAUUAGUGUUUUUCCUUUUUUUUUUUUCAAAAUUUUGCAGUUCUGUAUAAUUGAAAAUGCCACUCACUUGUUUCCUUUUUCACAGGUCAGAUAGUAUGUUGAGGCUAUUUGAUUUCUAUCGGUGUUUGUUAAGGUAAUUAGUGCUCCCUCAUAGGUAUGACUAGAUUUUUUUCACUUCCGUAAAUAUUGCAUUUUAGACUGGCAAAUUUAGCAGUAAUUUUAAUACAAUUUUGUUGGUGCCUUGUGUGCCAGAAGCUAGAAAAAUGUGUAGUUUUCAGAUAAGGAGUCUUGUUAGUUCUCUAGUAAGAAUCCAAUAAUUUGCUUUUGCACGUCCAUCUAAUUUGUGGAUCCUUGCAUCAGAAUUUGAUCAAUCCAAAGGAAUUGCUUUUAGACAGAAGAAGAAUAGCAGCACCUAGCCUAUGUCAUAGUGUAUGGACCCGCAAACCUGAAACUAUUAGAUUGAGGUAAAAAAAUCAUUGACCCUCACAUGUUAACUUCUUCUAGUUACUUUUGUUGGGAAAAAAAAACAUUUAAGGAAUUUGCAAUUUGUUGUUAGUUAUGGUAUCUGAUGUUCUUUUCUGUUUUAGCGUUUGUAGAAUCUACGGUAUUAUGUGUUGGCAGUUGCCGUAUCUGAGGUAACUUGCCUUUAUUUGUUUGCUUCUGACUUAAGGACACCAACAUUUGCCAGAGAUUUAGAGAAGCAUCUCAAAACACUUAGCAAACUUGACAAACUUCAAGAUGCACUUGCCCCCACGCCUUAUUCUCCACAACGCAAAACUUGUGAGUACACUUAUGCCUGCAAUUAUUGUGAAGUGUUUGCAAUUUCGAUGCAGAGAAAUGGUUUCUUGAUGCAAAGUAUUAAACUGUUAAGAUUUAUCCUGCAGGCUUGUUAGAUGUUGUAUACUCGAAAAGCCAACAACAUCAAGAACUACAACUCCAAGACCAACUUUGCAUUAAUUCAGUCAGCUGUAAAAAUGAUGCAAAUGACACUAUAUCAAGCUGGACUUAGAGACUAGUCAGAUCAAUCAUCCAUUUCAUCAACGGUUAAUGUCAUGAUGGUGGCUAUCAGAGGAAACAAAAGAUGUGUCAGAAUCUAUACGAACAUUGAGAAGCAUGAGAGGAGCUUUGAUUUUGAGUAGGGUCAAUGAACUCAUGUUGGUAAGUGGUGAUUAAAGAAAUUUGUAAGCUUAGUAGAGUUUCAGUAUUUUCUGUUUGGAGUAUAGUUGAUAAGUUGACUCUGUUUAAGAAGCCCGAUUAUAGUAGCUGACUGUAUUAACCUUUUUUUUUUUGGUCUGCUGUUGUUUUUGGUUUCGAUUAUUUUUUCAACAUUGGGUUGAUCUGUUGAAGAACAAGCUUGGGUUUGAUUAUGUUUUAACUAUAAGGAAGAGCCAGACUUGGUUGCAGGCGUUAAGCUUUUAAUGGGUAAGAACAAAUGAAUGCUUUAACCAUGUUUCUCACUUAUUAAAAUGCAUGGAUUGAAGGCAUCUGGGUUGAUCCUGACAAUGUGAUGGAAAUACUUCUCUGUUUUCAUGUAACAGGACAAAUAGAGAUCUCUGAUCAUGCCUGAAUUUUUGUUGCAUUGAAAUUUCUACCAUUACCAAACAUAGAAUGAACUGGGGAUACAUUAGCUUAAGACUCAAUUUUGAGAAGGAAGUUUGUACUUGCAGCCUAUAAAAUCAUGUCCGUGUCGUACGUUUCUUUGGGAAAUGAAAGAUUCUGUGUGUUCUUUUAUUUCAAGUUCACUGAAAUCACAUUUGUUUUCUCCGAUGCUUUCCAGAAGGUAACAACAUCAAUUUCAAAAAUGCUGGGGCAAGAUGCAUCAUGCAGUGCGACUCAACUUGAGAAUUCCUGGCCACAUUACCCGUAUGUCGAAUGAUCGCACAGUUCAACCUUGAGAAGCUUGUAAUGAGUACACAACUGGGUGCAAGUAGUUUUGAAAUGAAUUUGCCUCAAAUGAUUUCUUGCUCGCAUCCCUUGGGUUAUGAUAGAUGGAAAAUUCAUAUACGAUCCAGAGUCAGAGGUGUUGAUUCUCUUAUUAAGGUCAGCUGAUUUCUAUUAUCCACUCUGACAAACUCCAAGACCGGGUUUUUUUUUUUUUUUAAUUUUGCCGUUCUGUAUAAUUGAAAUGCCACUCACUUGUUUCCUUCUUCACAGGUCCGAUAGUAUGUUGAGGCUAUUUGCUUUUUAUCGGUGUUUGUCAAGGUAAUUAGUGCUGCCUCAUAGGUUGAUUACUCACAGAUGAAAUCAUAACUUUUAUCUUAAAAUUUAAUAGCAUACACAGAUAGAUGAUUUUUAGUCCAAAGUUUUUUUAUUCACUUCAAUCAAAAUUUUAGAUUGCAGAUUUUUGUCAAGUAUUUCAUUACAAUUUUUUCAUUUUUUAUUUUAAACCAGAAUAUGAGUAUAACAUUUUGGAGCGUGCAUACUCUGAUGCAUGCAAUUAACUGUUUUUAAUCAUUGGAUUUUGAAAUUAAUAAUGGUAAGAUGUGUACUUAUUCUGUCUUCCAACAACCUUGGCCUCUUUCUUCGGUCGCAUAUCUAAUGAAUAUUUCUCUGUUUAGUUAAGGAUGAAUGCUUGGAGUGGGGUACUUGGUAACAUUUCUGCCUCAGAUGAAUCCUUGAAGAAAUGCCCGCAGUUCCUGAGACCAAAUACAGGUCUGAUUCAAAACAGCACCUUUCUCAGAAAAUAUGAUCCAAGGCAAAGUCAUGUUCUGAUAAUGUUUCCUUAAGUACAAAGUUGCAAGGAAACUUGAUUCAUUAACUACAGUUUUUUAUUUUUAGGACCUUGUAUCUGAAAGGUUCAGUGUUUUUUUUUUUUUCAAAUUUAUUGUUCAGAUCUCAGAGGAGUAUAUGGUUUAGAUUACAAAACACCCAUGAUUAAUUUCAUUUUUUUUUUAAUUUCAGGGAGAAGAAGUGGUCAGUUUCAAUCCGGAAUUGGAAUAUGGCAAUUUGGUUCAAGCACACACACCUGGUCACUUGGUCAGUGAACCUGAACUUUACGCAGUUUUUUCAACUCAGUGAUUUUUGGAACGCAUAGUGGUGUAAGGAAAUCAAAAGAAAUUUAUGCAUAGUCAAAUUCUGAUAUUUGCUAUAUAUUAUACAUUCUAAAGUUUCUCCAGUUUGUUCUCAGAUUACCAUCAUUUUUUGCCUUCACCAAAAAAAAAAAAUUGAGUGGCUUUCCAGUGGAUAUUUAAUCGGAGGUAUGACUGGAUUUUUUUCACUUCUGUAAAUCUUGCAUUUUAAACUGGCAAAUUUAACUUUAAUUUUAAUACGACUUUGUUGGUGCCUUGUGCCCCAGAAACUAGAAAGAUGUGUAGUUUUCAGAUAAAGGGGCUUGUAAAUUCUCUAGUAAGAAUCCAAUAAUUUGCUUUUGCACGUUCAUUUUAUUUGUGGAUCCUUGCAUCUGAAUUUAAUCAAUCCAAAAGGAAUUGCUUUUAGACAGAAGAAGAAUAGCAGUACCUAGCCUAUGACAUAGUAUAUGGACCUGCAAACCUGAAACUAUUAGUUUGAGGUAAAAAAUUCAUGACCCUCACAUGUUAACUUUCAUGAAAAACACAUUUAAGAAAUUUGCAAUUUUUUGUUAGUUUCGUAUCCGAUGUUGUUUUCUGUUUUAGCAUUUGUAGAAUCUACUGUAUUAUAUUUUGGCAGUUGCAGUAUCUGAGGUAUGUUUUGCAUUUAACUUGCUUUAUUUGUUUUGCUUGUGACUUAAGAACACCAAUAUUUGCCAGAGAUUUAGAGAAGCAUAUCAAGCUGCUUGGCAAACUUGACAAACUUCAAGAUCCUCCAUUCUUCACAACGCAAAACUUGUAAGUACACCUAUGCCCGCAGUUAUUGUGAAAUGCUUGCAAUUUUGAUGCGCUGAAAUGGUUUGUUGAUGCAAAGGUUUAAACUUUUAAGAUUUACCCUGCAGGGUAGUUGGAUGCUGUAUACUCGAAAAGCGACCAACAUCAAGAACUAUGACUCCAAGACCGGGUUUGCUUUAAUUCAAUCAGCUGAAAUCAUGAUGCAAACGACACUAUCAGCUGGACUUAGAGACCGGUCAGAUCAAUCAUCCAUUUUAUCAACAGUUAAUGUCAUGAUGGUGGCUAUUAGAGGAAACAAAGGAUGUGUCGGAAUCAAUGUGAACAGUGAGAAGAAUGAGAGGAGCUUUGAUUAUACGUAGGCUCAAUGAACUCAUGCUGGUAAGUGGUAAUUAAAGAAAUUUGUGCGCUUAGUAGCAUUUCAAUAUUUUCUGUUUGGGAUAUAGUUGAUGAGUUGAUACUCUGAUUAAGAAGCCUGAUUAUAGUAGCUGACUUUUUUUUUGUGGUUUGCUGUUGAUUUUUCUUUUGAUUUUUUCAACAUUAGGUUGAUCUGUUGAAGAACAAGCUUGGGUUGAUUAUGCUUUAACUACAAGGAAGAGCCAGACUUGGAUGCAGGCGUUCAGCUUUUAAUGGGUAAGAACAAAUGUAUGCUUUAAACAUGUUUCUCACUUAUUACAAUGCACGCAUUGAAGGCAUCUGAGCUGAUCCUGAAAAAGUGAUGGAAAUACUUCUCUGUUUACAUAAAACAGGACAAGAGAUCUCUGAUCAUGCCUGAGAAUUAGUUGCAUUGAAAUUUCUACCAUUGCCAAAAAUAGAAUAAACUAGGAAUACAUUAGCUUAAGACUCAAGUUUGAGAAGGCAGUUUGUACAUGCAGCCUAAAAAAUCAUGUCUGUGUUGUAUACUUGUAUGUUUCUUUGGGAAAUGAAAGAUUCUGUGUGUUCUAUUAUUUCAAGUUUGCUGAAAUCACAUUUGUUUUCUUAGAUGCUUUUGAGAAGGUAACAACAUCAAUUUCAAAAAUGCUGGGGUAACAUGCAUCACGCAGUGCUACUCAACAUGAGAAUUCCGGCCGCAUUACCUGUAUGUUGAGUGAUCGCACAGUACAGCCUUUAGAAGCUUGUAAGGAGUAGACAACUAGAUGUGAGUAGUUUCAAUAUGGAUUCGCAUCAAAUGAUCUCUUGCCAGUGAUUACUAUAACCUCUAUCCCAAAAUUCUUGGAACUGGUCAUACCAAUAAUGAAGUGUUGUGUAUGUUGAAGACAUUGCGAAAGCUCCGUCAGCCUUUGUAUUGGAAAACAGUUGGUUGUAGUUGCUUCUGAAUGAUAUUAUUAAUAGAUACUGUAAAAAUGAACUGUGCCACUCAUUUUCAGAGCCCUGUUAAGAUGUGUUGGUAAUGUGUUUGAAGGUUGUUUGAUUUAUGUUGUAUUCAGCUAUAAAUCAAAGAUUCAGAACAUGGUUAUGUUACUGGUUUCCAAAUCAAAAAAUUGCCUUGUGAUGUUAGUGUUCAUUGUUUUCACAGGAGAUCAGGUUCCCUGUUGAUGAAUCAUUAAGGCAAACGCAUCCAUGUCUUAAGUUCAAAUGUGUCUCUUCUAUUUUCUAUUACUGACUCCUUUAUUUUGAUUUCUUCAUUGUAAUGGAAUUGGUUUUUAUUCCAAAUUAGUCUUAAGUUCUGUUAGCAUUUGAAGAUAGAACUAGAACUAAAUGAUUGACUGGAUUAAAUUCCGAUAAAGAAUUAAGUUAUAUAUUUAGAGAUAUUAUGUUUUUUUUUUUUUCAUUUGUUCAAUUUGGUUAGUGGUGAUUUCUUAAAGACUCAAUCCAUGUGCGUUUAUGCAUUUUUCUUUUGCCUUAAUUUCUGUUUCUUGGGGAGUUUAUACAGAUUCUUAUUUUAUGCUUCACAUGCCACAUGAAAGAUCGAAUUCUUAUAAUAAGAGUCUGAGAUCUCCCUGAAGGAUUCAAAGCAUUUUAUUUUAUAUUAAACUCCUUUACGUGGGUUUGGACACUACCACAAGUUCUUUAAAUACUAAAACGAUUUUAAGUCUUUUGUAUCAUCUGAUUGAAAUACAUGAAAGCACUCGUGGCUGCAAAAAUACAGUUGGGGCUAUUUCUAAAGUCUUCAACAGCAUUUUCUUUUUAACCUUUAUCCUCAUGGUUGUUUUUGCAGUUGUUCUUUAAGAAAACAUUUAAAAGGUUCUCUUUAUGGAUUUUUGAAAAUAAUUUUAACAUAAGCAAUUUUCAGAAGCACUUUAGAUGUCUGGCAUUUAGAAAAUUUUAUUCCGGUGUCACAUAAAAUACUUAGGAAGUUAAAUUUAUUUAUUUAUGAGCAUGUGCCAGUGCCCUGUGGCAUCCUCUUCACUUGUGAUAGUCAAAUGUAUUAUACGAUACAAUAUUAGCUUGACUGUAGCACAGAGGAGAAUAGGGUUGGUGUUGGUCUGAACCAGCUUAUGUAACAGCUGCCAAAGGAUAAUUUAAUUGUACUUUGAGUAAAGCUUUUGCAAAUUAAACAAGUGAUAAUUUGUUUCUAUUAAGAAAAACUUAAAGGAUAGGGCUAUUUUAACUCACCAAACUACACAUUAAAAAUCUACUUACAAAAAUAGUUUUUAAUUAUUAAAAUAUUCCUAAAUUAAAUUAUAAUUAUGGACACUAAAAUAUAAUUUUUUUUAUAUUUUACCCUUUGAAACUAUCUUUACAUUCGAUAUUACAUUUUUUUCUUAAACUCCAAAUUGAUUUUUUUUAUUAAUUUUAAAACACAUAUAAAGUGAUUCAUAUUGAUUUUAUACUAACAAACUAUUAUAGCACAUUCGAAAAAUAAUUAAAUCGUUCUUAUUUACAUAGUGAAAAUGCAAAUAGCUCAUUCAAAUGUUAAGGAAUUGGAGAGCUGCUGCUGGAGAUGAAAGAUGUGAAUUAAACAUCAGAGAAAAAAUUAUGUUCACUGUCUUGCCAGACCAAGCACCGAAAAGCGUCGUAAAGAAAAAUUAGAUAAUUUAGAAGAUAAAGCACGUGGAAUGGAGGCAGAAAGCAAGUAAUGAUAACUCUUUCGACAAACUAAUAUAUACCAAAAUGUAAUAUCGGCCCUAAUAAAAAAUGUGUUACGUAAGUAAAAGCACCAGGUCGGUCGUGCUACUAUUUCUGUCCCGGUAUGGCUCACCUCAACUGAAUGGUACAAGCAGAGCAUGGAGACGAAUAUGGCCCGACCAGAGAUGAGUACCGACCAGAGGUGUAUGUCGAGCCGAUACCCGUCUCCUGAAAAAGCGGGAACACGAUCCCACAGAAUCGCGGAAUUUGCGUUUUUCCCAGAACCGUUGCGAGAGAUGCGAUACCCCACGUUUACCCGUAAUGUAGUAGUUAAAGUUCCGUGAAAGGCCACCACCCGAAAAAGGAGGGAUGAAGACUGAGCGGGAACGUGGGAUAACGGCUAUAAAAGAAGGAGAAAUCGAUGAAGAAGGGGACAGAAAAAUCAAAAGAGGGAAAACGCUGCCAAAUUAUUGUCAGGCUAUCUUCUUGAAAAUUCCAGAUAAAUCAAAAACUACUCUUAAAUCUAAAUUGCUCUGUUUUCCCGUAAAUACCUUGAGCUAACUUAGGCAUCGGAGGGUUUACGCCGGCAAAACCACCCGCGUCUUUGAUCCGUUUUUUUGUGAGCGCAGGUCUAGAAAGAGAAAGGAGGACGAGUCCAAGUCCCGCGGUUCGAACUUGAUAACAUAAUCGUUGGUGGAAAAUUCUGGUCGGUAACAAGGCGAGCAGAUUUAAGCAUCAACAUUUUGGCGCCGUCUGUGGGGAGCUGGAUAAAAAGCUACCACCAACUUAGUAGUUGCCAGAGAAGCGGUAAACAAUCAGACAUGGAUGUGCCCAGGAAAGACGCUCUGAGGGAGGAUAACGAGUCUGGAGAGACAAUCACUCUUAGGGAAAUUGCAAAUGAAGCCCGGGAGAGGGUAAUGCAAGAUCGAUUGGAGCGGAUGGAGAAACAAAUGGAGACUCUCGCGACCAUACUAUUUGAGCUGAGAGACGAGCGGAGAAGGGAUUGCGAAACCCCUGUGGGGAGAGAUGAUGUCGGAGCAGAACCCAGCCUCCGGACGCGUAGAGUCGAGGAGAUCCCUCCGCCGGCGGACCAACCUAAUGGGGUGCAUCCCCACAGAAGUACUGGUCGGAUUCCAGGAGAACAAAUAGAUGAAGGGAGGAACCAACCUCGCCCUGGGCGGGUACUGGAAGCUGAUGGCCGAGGGGCCAGUGUUAAUGAAGGGGAGCUCAGGCAGCGGUUGCAGAAUGCCGAACAGGAGCGAGAUCAAAUAGCUGCACGUGAUCCUGACCGUGCUGUAGAAUUGGAGGGAGAGGUGCGCAGAUUAGCGCAAGUGAUAGAGGAGAUACAGGGUAGGAGAAAGCCCCCGAGCUGGAGGAUAAUGCUAGAUGAAGAAUCUCCACUAUCAGUUGAGAUCAUGGGCACUGUAAUCCCAAGAGAUUUCCGCUUCCCCGACCUCAAAUACUCCGGGCGAAGUGAUCCACUGGUGCAUAUUGAACGUUUUAAUGACGUGACGGGUGUUCAGGGGUUAACACCAGCUCAGAGGUGUAGGGUAUUCCCAUUGACACUAGAGAGACGAGCCCGAGAAUGGUACCACAAACUGUUACGAGGAAGUAUCAGAGGGUACGAGCAGAUGUGCCAAGAAUUGGCCGAACAAUUCCGGGGGGCGGUGGCCCCAGAGGAUGAUAUGAUGGAACUAAUGGGGAUAAAGCAGGAGGAACAAGAACCCCUUCGAGAUUUUGUAAAACGAUACCACCGAGCCGUGCUUGAUUUGGGAGCUUUCAAUCACCCGCAGGCGUUGAGGGGAUUGAAGGAGGGUGUGAGAAUAGGCCGACUGUGGUAUAACCUGAGAAGCCCCCUGGUGCAGAAUUAUUCCGCGGGGUAUGAGCAAGCAAAGAGAGACAUUGAAAUCGAAGAAGAAAAAUCAGCCAGGAUAAAGAGUGAACAAUUGGAGGAGCUGAGACGAAGAGAGAUGAGAGCCCCAAAAGGAGCGGGUCAGGAAAGCAAGCUGGGGAAUCUUCAAUGAUGGGUGCAGUAUCCGCUCGAUCUCGCCUUUAUCCUAUGGCUCAGAGACCGCAGCAGGUCCAACACAAUCGGGCUCAGCCCUCACGCCCCCCAUUCCUGGAACGACAACGAGAAUUUCGGCAGUUGGCUAACCAUCCCUAUCACAACGCUCCCAGAGCACCGCAUACAGCCAACCCCAGAGCGGGACGAUCAGGUCAGCUACCUUCAAUAUCCGCUCGGGAUGAUACUCAUGAUAGCCGAGCAGUCCAGCUGAUUGACCAGAACCCAGCGUACGGACAAUAUACCCCGCUAAAAGUCCCUAUGGAGGAGUUGUAUGAGAGAAUCGAGGGACGAGGCCUGUUGUACCCUCCAGCCCCUAUAACGAAACCUGCUCACCGAAGGGAUAAGAGCAGAUUCUGCAAAUUCCAUGACACUCACGGUCACACCAUCAGCCAAUGUCGUGACUUUAAGAUUCAGGUGGAGGAUUUGGUGAGAAAUCGUUAUUUGGAUGAGUAUGUAGAUGGGGUUUCUCCCGUCAUUGAAUCACAGUACACGCGGGGUGAAGGAGAUGAGAGGAGCCUGGAACGUGAACAGCCAACUAUCCGUGUGAUAGCAGGAGGGCCAACCCUGGCUGGGGAUUCGAAUAGGGCACGGAAGAACUAUGGGAAAUACGCCAUGACCAGCAAAGAAGUUCUUUUCAAUUUGCCAGCAGCCAAGAAGGCAAAAUUGCGGCAAGUUCCCAUUAUGUGGACAGAUGACGAUAAAGAGGGUAUCCUAUAUCCUCAUAAGGAUGCACUGGUGAUUAAGGCAAUGGUGGCUGGUACAGAACUACGACGGAUACUGGUAGACACGGGCAGCUCGGUUGACAUCUUGUUUAAAUCGGCCCUAGAUGAUAUGGGGAUUGCAGACUUAAAAUUGGAACGGACGAACACAUCUUUAAAGGGAUUUGGAGGGGGACGGCUAACUCCCAUAGGAAUCGUCGAACUCCCAAUUACUAUGGGGACAAAGCUGUUUGAAAGAACAAUGAUGUUGGAUUUUGUCGUGGUAGAGGAGAGAAGCCCUUACCAGAUGAUACUGGGGAGACCGUUCAUGAAGAUAAGUCAAUGCGUUGUGUCUACGCAUUAUCUGGCACUAAAAUACAGAAUAAACGGAGCGGUUGGUGUAGUAAAAGGUGACCAGAGGGUGGCAAGGAGUUGUUAUGCUACAGCGGCCAAGGAGACGCUGCAGGUUACUUCCUUAGAUAAUCGAGGAGAACCUAAAAAGGGCCGCCAAGAACCUGUUGAGAAACUGGAGGCAGUUUCGGUAAGCAAAGGCGACCUGAGCAGAGUGGUGAAGAUCGGAUCGGGGUUGGUUGGUGCAGUCAAAGGCGAACUGGUAAAUUGCCUACAGUCUCAUGCAGAUAUAUUUGCCUGGUCUCACGAGGAUAUGCCAGGAAUUGAUCGUGGGGUAGCUUGCCACAAGUUGGCAAUUAAGAAGGGGGCGAGGCCGGUGAGACAGAAGAGGAGAUGCUUUAACCAGGAAAGAUACCCAGACGGACGAGAUGUGAAGAGGUCAUGGAACGCCGAGCACUUAAAGAAGUAUUUUCAGUAAGCAAAGUGCUCUGCUAAAUCCUCAUUUUGAUAAGUUUUCUUUGUUAACUGCAUGAUGGUUUAUUACGCAUGUACAUAGUCUGUAUUUUGUAAUACAUUCAAAUCGCAAUAAAGAUGAAUUCAGCAUGAAACCCUUCUGUUAAGCAAGGCCAUUAUAAUUUAUACCAAGGCAAGUAAGUGCCUGCUUCUGCUCGGUCAACGAAAGACCAGCAGCUAAAUUAGCGAAAUUUCUACCAAGGCAAGUAAGUGUCUGCUUCUGCUCGGUCAACGAAAGACCAGCAGCUAAAUUAGCGAAAUUUCUACCAAGGCAAGUAAGUGCCUGCUUCUGCUCGGUCAACGACAGGCCAGCAGCUAAAUCUACGAAAAUUAUACUAAGGCAAGUAUGUGCCUGCUUUAGUUCGGUCCACGAAAGACCAGCAGCUAAUACUACGAGAAUUCUGCUAGGGCAAAUAAGUGCCUAGUUCUGCUCGGUCAACGAAGACUAGCAACCAAUUUUAUUAAAAUUUUACUAAGACAAGUAAAUGCAUACUCCUGCUCGGUCCACAAAGAAACCAGCAAGCAAAAUCAGAUAAGUUGUCCAAUUAUUUUGCAGAAACCAUCUAUGAGCAAAUACCAGACAAGAAAGUCAAUAGAGAACAUCUAAAAGUUUAUAAAUGUUUGAUUGUCUACAAAAUAGAUGUAAAUCUAAAGUUUACACAGAAAUAGACUUAAAGAUUAGCAGGGUCAACGGCUCCAGCAGCUGAAGAAUCAGCAACCUCAGGAGGCGGGAGAUCGGCAAUACCGGGAGGAGGGGGCAUGGACCCUUGACCCACCUCGAAAGUACGUCCCCCGGCUUCCCCCUCCUGCACCCCCUCCAAAGGAGCCUCCGCCUGAUCCUGAUGACCUUGCUCCUUAUCUGCCUGGCCGGUUUCCGCCAUAUACCGCUGCACUCCAGCCUCCAGCUUACUCAUGUCCAGCUCGGGAUAUUCUUCUUUAAGCACGGACAUGAUACACUUAUAGGAGAAAGCAACCCCAGAGUCAUACUCGGCAUCCAGCUGGUCGUCCACAUCAGCGGAUUUGCCUUUCUCCUCAGCCAGCUGUUCAUUUAGGGAUUUGAUUUCUCCCUCAAGGGCAGUCCUCAGAGUAUCUCUUUCACUUUGAGUUACCUGAAGGUCAGACUUCAGGCUGCCCAACUCACCCUCGAGUUUGGAGGCAGUGGACUCAGCAAUUGCAGUUUUCUCCUCCAGCUCCAUAAUCUGUUUGUUCAGCUCGGCCAGUUUCUCCUUGGAGCGAUCAGCAGAUUCAGCCUUCUUUUUCAACUCCUGAUUAUCAGCUUGAAGCUUCCUCUCAUGGCGUAUGGACACGUUCUUGUAACACGAAACCAUGGUGGCCAGCCUGAAGGAAACCCUUUGAACAGAGGCAGCUAACUCGGAGAGCUCCAUACUCUCGAUGUCCUUCACCAUCUUGGGCCCAACCGACCUCUUGUAAUCCUUUUGGUACGGGCUCAAAUAGUCACCCUGAUCCCGAGAUGGAAGAGGAGAAGAUCGGUCCCCAGAUUGUAAGCUGACCUCAGGGCUCUUGUCGGAAGUUUUCUCCCCACUACUCUUACGAGGUGGAGGAGGGGGCAGAGCAGGAACUGGAGCCUGAGAAGGACUGGCACUGGCCUUUUUCGGAGGAGGAGGAGGGUGGCUGGAGCUGCUCGAUGCCCGACCACGCUUUCUGCUCAUCGCGCUGAGGAUCUUGUUAUCCAUCCCAGCGGCAAUAUCUACUAAGCCCGAACCGACCAGGUUUGUUGGUGACAGGAGGUCUUGACAAGUAGACGCGCUCACCAGAGCCGUUUCCACCUGGAGUAAAGGUCGGUCCUCGAGAGUCUUAACCAAACCCCACGAUUCUGAAAAAACAGACAAGGUUAAAGAACCCAAUAAGUGGCAAUUCGAGAAAGAAUAUAGGCAAAAAAUGAACGACCUGGGGUGACAAAUUGCGUUGGAAGGUAAAUGUCACCACCCAACGACCGAACUGCUGGACACCAAUUUCCCCCAGCAAAGAAGAAUUUGUUCUUCCAAUUUUUGCACGAGGAGGGGAAACCGGUGAUUGGCUUUCUCUUCGCAGAACUGGACAUGAAGUAGUACCAGCCCGCCUCCCUUGGGCUGCUCCGCAGCUGAUACAGAUGCUUCACUUCAACAAGGGAAGGCUCCUCCGACCCACACCUCUCCCACAACACAAACAUAGCCGAGAGAACCCUCCACCUGUUUGGGUGUAGUUGACCUGGGGCCAGGUGCAUACCCCCUAAAAUCUUGGCAAAAUAGCGCUGAAGAGGCAGCCGAGCUCCUAAUUUAAAGCUCUCCAGGUGCAUGGUCACGUACUCCCGCGGAGGCCGACUAGGAACAUCACCUUUCUCAGGAACCACAAGGAGAACCUCCUUAGGAAUAUCAUAGAGGUUCCUAAGCUUGAACAGAUCAUUUUGGGUGGUGGCACAGGCUAUGUGAUCAAUGGGGUAAGAAUCUGCCUCCAUCCUAUGCCCAAGGUUUUGUUUCUUAAGAGGUCGGCUCGGCUCGGCUCGGAGCUGCUUCCCUCACUAUCACCCGCUCCUUCAGGAACCCCGACCCCACCAGAACUGUGGUUCUCGCCAGAGCCCGACGCAGGUCCCCCUCUAUUUCCUACAAGCUCUAAUUCAGAGGAGGGUGAAAUGGUCAAGGGACGUGGGUACUCAAGGAUAUCCCUACUAUGGGAUAAGCCUACACUACGAGAGGGAUUCAAAAAAUCAGUGGGUAUGGGCAAGUUAAGGUCUGAAUCCCCAGAUUCUUCAUCACCCUCGUCUGCAAUCAACUUCCUUCUUCGAUUUGACAUACCGGAGUUCCAAAAGAAAACCAAAACAAACCCAAGUACACGAAUACAAAAAGAGACAGUACAGAACCCAAUCAACAACAGCCAAAAAAGAGGUUAAAGGCUAUACCUGGAAUGGACUAACAUUGGUAGCACUGCCGUGACAGAGAAAACACCCAGCAAAUGGAUACUCCGGACGCUGGAAAUGGGAGCAAAGUCCAGAAAAGAAAUUGGUUAGUGACGGAGAAACGAAUCGCAGAAUGAUGAUGAUUUUAGUCUAGGGAUUUGGAACGAAAAGGGGGGAAACGGAAGCAUUUAAGUGAUGGGAUAUGCCAGCUCACUCACCAUAUAUCGAGGAAGGAUAGCCCGUCGUUUCAAAUUUCAAAAUAUGAAGAGUCGGGAAGCGCCACGUCACUAACCGAUACAAGAGGCCAGACUAGAGCAAGCCCAGAUAUGCAAUGGACAGGCUCAUUAAGGCCCAUGCUCAGAAGACCAGAUGAGAAGCCCCGGGCUGGUCGGCUUCAACCAUCAGUUUCUACUCUUAACUCAUUUCACUCGCAAGACCAGAAACUGGGGGACUGGUGUUAAGUAAGUAAAAGCACCAGGUCGGCCGUGCUACUAUUUCCGCCCCGGUAUGGCUCACCUCAAUCGAAUGGUACAAGCAGAGCAUGGAGACGAAUAUGGCCCGACCAGAGAUGAGUACCGACCAGAGGUGUAUGCCGAGCCGAUACCCGUCUCCUGAAAAAGCGGGAACACGAUCCCACAGAAUCGCGGGAUUUGCGUUUUUCCCAGAACCGUUGCGAGAGAUGCGAUACCUCACGUUUACCCGUAAUGUAGCAGUUAAAGUUCCGUGAAAGGCCACCACCUGAAAAAGGAGGGAUGAAGACUGAGCGGGAACGUGGGAUAACGGCUAUAAAAGAAGGAGAAAUCGAUGAAGAAGGGGACAGAAAAAUCAAAAGAGGGAAAACGCUGCCAAAUUAUUGUCAGGCUAUCUUCUUGAAAAUUCCAGAUAAAUCAAAAACUACUCUUGAAUCUAAAUUGCUCUGUUUUCCCGUAAAUACCUUGACCUAACUUAGGCAUCGAAGGGUUUACGCCGGCAAAACCACCGGCGUCUUUGAUCCGUUCUUUUGUGAGCGUAGGUCUAGAAAGAGAAAGGAGGACGAGUCCAAGCCCCGCGGUUCGAACUUGAUAACAUAAUCGUUGGUGGAAAAUUCUGAUCGGUAACAAGGCGAGCAAAUUUAAGCAUCAACAAAAUGAAAAUAAAAAUUCAUUACGAAUACGUGUUAAAGAUAUCCCAAGUAUAGAUGUGACUGAAAUAUUUGAGAUUGAAGAAGAAUUAAGACUCAAAAUCAAUUGGGAGGAAUAAAUGAGAAACCCCAAUACCAAAAAAUACACGCACAAAUCCUAAUACUAAUUGUAAUCACGGAUAAAAAGCAUAAUACGAAUAAAUUAAAUGGGCAACUAUUCCAUUGAGAAAUUAAUUAAAUCGUGUAUUAAUAUUUUGUAUACAUAUAUUUUUCUAUAUAUAACUUUCGGUAAUUUAAUUUUCCACUUAUCAUUUUUACUCCAAAAAAAUAAUUGAGAAUAUUAUUUAUAUUUUGGUGCAAAAUAUUUGAACAAUAUACAAAUUUUCAGUUUAAUAAAUCUAAACAUCUAUUAAGUUAUAAAUGAAUUUAAUGGGUUUAAUUAAUAAAAUUACUAUUAUUAUAUAAAUUGGGUUUAGUAAUGGUAUAUUGGGUGGGUUUGUUGAGUAAAUUUUAAAAUUUUGAAAUUUAAGGAUGGGUUUAUUUAGUAAAUGAGUUAAGGGAGUAGUUUGUUGGGAUUCACAUAGCCCCACCAAAUUCAAAUGUAAAAUUUGUGGAAAAAGAAGCUAUUGAGUUAUUCUUUUAAAAAAAGAAUUAAAAUGUCAAGAAUACCUUUAUUUAAUUUUAUAAUCUUAUUUUAUAGUCAUAUUUUAUUUCCACCUUAACAUAAUUUUAAAAACCUUAACUAAUAAAUUCUAUAUUUUUUUUAUAAAAGUUAUCAUUAAUAUCCAAACGGCUAAAGAUUUUUUUUUUUUUAAAAAAAAAGGAACUAUGCUUACAAAAGUUGUAUACAUUAACAAUAAAUUUAGUCCAAAGAAUAAAGUUAUUCCAAACAAGCACUCCAAUUCAUCUUGCUAAUGAAUCAAGAUGACUGAAUCCUUCUCUAAGCCAAAUCUAUUUUCACUUUUAGGUCAGAAAUUGUCAUUAAAAAAAUGUUUGAUAAAAUAUGCUCUAGGAACACUAAUUCGUCAGAUGGUUACUCCAAGUUUAUGAAAUCAAUGGGAUUUCAUCAUAUUCAUAACAUUCUUCUUUAAUGUCUAUUCUAACAAAGAAAUCAUAUACAGAGAAUAGGUUUCGUUAAAACUUUUACUAGAAAAACUAACCACAAUUCACCAUUCAUUUAUAUCUUAAGUAAGCCUAAGAUUUUAUCAUUAAAAUCCCAUCAUGAAAAAAACUCAUGGGAGAAAAACUAUAAAAAUUGAAGAAAAAAGAGUAUGGCGUGCAUGUAAAUUAUAUCGAUUUUAUCUACAUGACAAAUAAGACUCUCUUUUACAAUGGCACGGAUGCUUCAUUGAGUAAUCAUGAUUCUUGCUGGUAGUGCUUUGUUGUAUCAAUCUGCUAGCUAUUCAGCGUUCUUUCUUUCUUUCUUCUUAUUUUUUUGUUUUCAAAUAGCUUGUGGUUGUAGAAAUAUUUCAAUUAAACUAUACUUAAGUACUUAUUUGGUAUAACUUCUUUACUAACCAAAAGAAUUUUUUUUUUUGGUUUUUUAUAAUUUAAUUAUACUUUAACUAGAGUUUUUGGGAUAAAACAAGUGAUAAUUUCUCUCUAUUAAGAAAAACUCAAAGGGUAGGGCUAUCUCAAUCCACCAAACUAUUUAUUAAAAAUCCACUUAUGAAAAUAAUUUUUAAUUAUUAGAAUGCCUUUACAUUAAAUUAUAAUUAUGGACACUAAAAUAUAAUAAAUUUUUUUUUUACUCUUUAAAACUGUCUUUACAUUUGAUAUCAUAUCUUUUUCUUAAAAUCUAAAUUGAUAUUUUUAUUUUAUUUUUUAUUAAUCUUAGAACACAUAUAAAGUGAUUCAUAUUGAUUUUAUACUAACAAACUAUCACAGCACAUUCGAAAAUAAUUAACUCGUUCUUAUUUGCAUAGUGAAAAGGCAAAUAGCUCAUCCAAAUGUUAAAGAACUGGAGAGCUGCUGCUGGAGAUGAAAGAUAAAUAAUUCUCACUUAGAAGAAGGAGAAAAAAAGGAAAUACAAUUAGAAUGAGAGGUAGCCAGUAGCCACUAGCCGCCACCACCACCAGUGAAACUAUUUCACAUAAUAGAAGAUAAAGCACGCGUAAUGGAGGCAAAAAGCAAGUAAUGAUAACUCUUUUCGACACACUAAUACAUAUCAAAAUGCAAUAUCGGUCCUAACAAAAUGAAAAUAAAAAUUCAUUACGAAUAUGUGUUAAAGAUAUCCCAAGUAUUGAUGUGAUUGAAAUAUUUGAGAUUGAAGUAGAAAUAAGACUCAAAAUUAAUUGAGAGGAAUAAAUGAGAAACCCAAAUAUUAAUAAAAUACACGUGCAAAUCCUAAUGCUAAUUAAAAUCACGGAUUAAAAAUAAUAAUAAUAUGAAUGAAUUACAGGCGCAACUGUUUCAUUAAGAAAUUAAUUAAAUCGUGUAUUAAUAUUUUGUACACAUACAUUUUUCCAUAUAUAACUUUCGGUAAUUUAGUUUUCACUUAUCAUCUUUACUCCAAAAAAAAAAUUGAGAAUAUUAUUUAUGUUUUGGUGUAAAAUAUUUGAAUAAUAUACAAAUUUUCUGUUUAAUAAAUCUAAACAUUUCUCCAGUUAUAAAUGAAUUUAAUAGGUUUAAUUAGUAAAAAUAUUAUUAUUAUAUAAAUUGGGUUUGGUAAUGGUAUAUUGGGUAUUUAAAUGGGUUUGUUGAGUAAAUUUUAAAAUUUUAAAAUUCAAGGGUGGGUUUAUUUUAGUAAAUGGGUUAAGGCAGCAAUUUCCCAAACUAAAAUUUUUAGAAAAAGACGCUAUUGAGUUUUUUUUUUUUUUAAAAAAAGAAUUAAAAUGUUGAGAAUACCUUUAUUUAAUUUUAUAAUCUUAUUUUAAAAAAUUUACCCAAUAAAUUUUAUAAUUUUUAUAAAAAUUAUCAUUAACAUCCAAACAGCUAAAGAUUAAAAAAAAAAAAAAAGAAGAAGGGAACUGUACGAGCAAAAGUUACAUUAACAAUAAAUUUAGUCCAAAGAAUAAAGUUACAGCUAAAAAGUGCUCCUAUCCUAUUUUUCUCUAUUUUAACAAUAAUCUUCUUCCAAUCCGUUUUACAAUGGACUUUAACAAAUGGGCUCAAUCUCUAAACUUCAUUUUCUUUUGCUUACCCAUGGCCAUUAGCCAGAAAGCCUAAAACAAGACCAGCCCAUAUAUAUAAUUUUUUUUAAAAAAAAGUAAAAAUGUGUGAGAGCUUGUAGCAUUACAAUUUUAGGAUCACAUGUGUAAAUGGAACCCCAACAUUGAUCAAGAAUUAACAAGACAAGAUGAAGAGAUGAUCUUGUAACUAAGAAUGAAGAAAUUGAAUCAAGACAGUACUCUAGUAAAACCCAGAAAACAGAGCUUGAAGAAUCACGCACAAAGCAGUAAAUUUGUAAAACCAGAAUUGGAGCUUCACUUCUCAAGAGAGACGAAACAGGAUACAGUCUAGCUUUAGCCAAAGUGAUAAACUCGUAAUUAUUCUACAAAGGGAACAAUUUUGAACAGUGGGAAAUUCCAUAAUUAUUCUUUUCGGUGAAUUAUUUUAAAUAAAAUUAUAAAAACCAAUAUAAAAUUAUUACCCAGUAAAGACUUUAGAGAGACAAGUGCUCCCAACAGGAUCAAGUGAAUAUGCCCCACAAAGAUCAUUUCUUGUUCUUUUUCUUUUUGACAAUUUUAUCUGUGGUUUCAACUUUUAUGCUUUAUUGUCGUAUCCCGUUGAGGGCUCCGCUGCACCCAUUACAACUUACCCCUAAAUUGCCUCUUACUAACUAAACCGUUAGAUUUUAUGGAAGCACGUUCAAUGCUGAAUUUUAAUUAUGUCAUCAAAUUUCGUUUAGCUCCUUAAACUCCAUUUUAUUUGUAAUUUCUUCAUAAAAUAUUCAAAGCUUCAUCAAGCUCCUGAUGGACCAUCAUGGCUAGGGGUGCAUUAGAGCCGAACUGAAAUAUGUUAGUUCAGUUCAGUUUGGUCAGUUUAAAUCGAAUGGUUUAGAAUAUAUAAACUGAUCAAUUUUAAUUUUUAAUUGAACCGAAAAUCAAUUGGUUCAUUAUUAGUAUUUUUUUAUAAACAUGAAUUAUUAGUGAUUGUAAUUAAAUUGGACUAAAAAAAAUUCAAACUAAGGUGAAAAAUAUAAAAUCUUAGACAAUAUAAAAGAAAAAAUAUUAAAUUUUUUUAACCGAAUUAUUUUGACUCAAUUUGGUUCAUAAUUUUUUAAACCAAAUGGAACCCUCAUAACAAAAAACUAACAGAAACAAUAAGAACACGAUGUUAAAAUCUUAAAUCAAUCGCAAAAAAGCACCCAAAACAGAUCGAUUAGGAACAGUUAACAACAAAAGAUUUGAUGGUUCAAAAUCAUAAUGUGACCUACUUCCAUCCAAGAAUUAUACUAAUUUCUUUACUAGUUGUCAAAUACAAGAUCACAAGAUUAUUUAUCACUCUAUAGAGAAAAAAUUUUUAGAAGAAAUACUCCCCAAUUUUUCUCUUGAUAGUUAUGAAUCAACACCCCUAGAAAGGCUAUUGAUUUACUUUUCCUUAUUUCAUAUGAUCGGUUGCUGCAACUUAAUCCUUGCCAAGUUCCAACAUAGUCCAAACAUUUUUCAUGGUACAUGCAUAGUGCACCUUCAGAAACUUUACAGCUCUUCUUAAAACCUCAGUUCUCGUGAUGUUUCUGAUUUAUUUCUGGGACGAGUAACACUUUUGUUGAACCUAGACCAGAUUUAGUAUCCAAUCAAGAAUUUCCAGGAUCUAGCUGAACUCUCUAAUCAAGACCUAAAGAAUAGUUAAUCAAAUCCACACAAAAGAAUCACCCAAAAACAGUAUACAAAGAACAACAAAUAUAAGUGGUUUUGAGAUAAAUGUAAUUGACUUCUGAGCAUGACUUAAUUUUGAGAUCAUUACUUUUAGUUAAAUGAUCUCCUCCAGAGCUUCUACCUAUGUAGUGUUUUUAGACCUCUAUAGUUGAUAAAGCACGUUCAAGGUGAAGGCUUGUUUUCCAAUCUAUAGUCCAAUUAUAGACUGGAAAUGGUCAGGCUUAAUGCACCUUCAAAAGCUUCACAAUUUGUAUUGAAACCUUAAGCCUCAGAAUGCUACAAAUUUUAAAUCCAUAUACUUAGUGCUCUUAUGAUUUGUUUGAUUUUUACUUAGAUGAAGAGCAUUUUAGCUAUAGAAAACAUUGUAACUAAUUCAAAGCAUGCCUUAGCUACGAGAUCAUUCAUUCUAGCCAAAUGCCCCCUUUAGAGAUUCUGCUAUUGUUGUGUAUUCAGCCUCUAUAUUUGGCAAAGCAAUUACAUGUCGAAGGCUUGCUUUCCAGUUAACAGCGCAAUUACAUAGAUUAAAGGUGUAACCAGGCAAAGAACUUAGUUAUUCUGCCAAGGUCUCCAACAUACUCCAAAUCCAUAUAACCACCAGACUUCAAUCUUUAGACUCCAUAGAUCAAACCAUAACUUAGUGUGCCUUUCAAUCUCAGGUAACAUUUUACUGUUUUCCACGUCUUGCCAUGUACUUGCUGCUAACACUAACAAUUUGAGAAAUGUUAGGCAUCGUAAGCAGCCGACAACACUCUUCUUCAUUUCUUCAUUGUCAAUUUCCUUCUUGGAACAUUGCUCCAUUGAGAGUCUGCUAUCAUUGCUCCAAUUAUUAUUAUUUUUGUUUUUUUAAAAAAAAAAAUUAACCGUGCAAUAAGAGUAUAAGACUAAGCAACGGUCCUUUUUUUUUUCCCAUUCUUGAACAUGAAGUAUUUGAGUAUGCAAUAAAAAUUGUUUAUUGAUAAUUAAAAGUUAAUAGUGGGUGGCUUUAGGAUUUGUUUACAAAAUUGACAACAAAUUAAGAUUUUUCAAAUUCAUAGGUAAGAAACUUUUCAUUUAUUCAUAGAUUUUCCGGUUUAAACUUUAAAGGAAACUUAAAAGAAAAAGAUGUAUCAUUAGAUUUGUAAUUAAAAAAAUUUAAUAUUGUAUGAUCUGUUCGAUAUGCAUAAUUUAAAUAAACAUUAAUAUAGAUGUUAUAUAUCCUAAAACUUAAUUGACUUAAUUCUUACGGUGCAAGGAAGACGUUUCCAAGUUUAAAUCUAAUUUGGGGUCGGGAAAGCACUGGGAAAUAAAUGUAACAAAGGAAAAAAGAAAAGAAUGACAGUCUGAGUGGAGCCAACACGGUUUUGAAAAAAGUGCAAAAAAGGGUUUUAGGAUAUAUUCUAUUAUCGUUUGUUUGCUUGCUUGUGGAAAUAAAAGUCUCAUGUUUCUUUGAAAGGUAAGCAAGUGUGAAUGUUUCUAUCUAGAGCUGGAAAAUGCAUUUCCGUGCAACUUACUUGAUGAAUGAAGUUUUCAUCUCUGACCUUGAUGUUUCCCAGAGCUGCAUUCAUUUCAGCUGAUCUAUUUCAUUUCGUUUGCAAAGGAGUGACACAAAACCUCCUUUGUUAAGGGGAGAAUUUAGAGUGGCUUCAACGGUUAACAAAUAGCCUAAUGUAAGACUUAAUCAAUUUCCUGCCCGGUUGCUUACCACUACUUAUCACUUUAACGUAUGAAACCUAAUCAAGAUUCCUUUGAUGAUUUUUCUAUUUGCUAAUUGAUUGAUAAGCUCUUCAGUGAAGAUAUAGUGUCCGCAAGCCAUAUGUUGAUAGAGUUAGAGUUUGCAGAAGCUACUGUACCAUAUGUUGUUAGAGGCGGUAAAAACGGAGGCAGAUCAACACACAUUUAAAUUUCAAUGACAAUUUACUGGAAAUAAAUUUCCUAUGACCCUACAUGUGACUAAUUGAUGAGAACUUGACAAUGACAAAAGAAAGUGUAUGAGCUUUGCAGGCUGGCUUGCCAAUAUUGACUGUAUGGCACCAUCCGCAAGUAAGUAUCAUUACUGUUUAAUCAACUUGGUGGAGUCCACUGGGACCACCCCACAUGGUCAGUCUUAUCUCUACUCCUAAAUUUUCAAUAUUCCAUACAUCAAACCAAUUGCAGUUUUGAUAUCAAAUUCAAUUUUAUUGUUGGUGACGAUUCUGAUUCCUUUCAUUCUCACAAAACGGAACCAUGGUUGCUGUUGGAGAGAUCUUACUCAACGCCUUCCUUGAGGUGUUGUUUGACAGGUUGGCUUCUCGUAAUUUGCUCCGCUUUGUGCGUCAACUCCAAGGCGGGGUUGAUUCGGAGCUCAAGAAGUGGGAGAAAAAGCUGAAGAUGAUUCAGGCUGUGCUCUGCGAUGCAGAGGAGAAGCAACUGACCGAUGAGGCUGUGAAGAUGUGGCUGGACGAACUCCAAGACUUAGCUUUUGACGCUGAGGACAUUCUUGAUGAGUUUGCUACUCAAGCUUUGGAAAGCAAGUUGAUGGCGCAAAACCAGGAUAGCUCUGGCCAGGUUCUCAGUCUCAUCCCGGCUAGUUUGAAUCCGAAUGCUAUUAUGUUCAAUUAUAGCAUGGGGUCCAAGAUUAAAGAUAUGACUAGCCGGCUGGAGCAACUCUGCCAAGAAAGAAUUGAACUUGGACUGCAACGGCUUACUGGAGGGGCGUCAUCAACCGCUGCUGCUGCACACCGGAGGCCACCCAGUUCGAGUGUCCGAACAGAACGUGAAGUAUUUGGAAGAGAAGAAGAUAAGGCCAAAAUUCUUGAUAUGGUCAAUACCCCAAGUGAUCACGCCAACUUUGUUGUAAUACCUAUUGUUGGAAUGGGCGGGAUAGGAAAAACAACUCUUGCUCGGGAGGUCUACAAUGACAAGGCAGUUGAGGAUUCCAAGUUUGACGUAAAAGCAUGGGUUUGUGUCUCCGACAACUUUGAUGUUUUCAACAUUUCAAAGGCACUUCUCGAGUCAAUCACCUCCGCAGCUAGUGAUCUCAAGACUUUAAAUGAAGUGCAGGUUCAACUGAAAAAAGCAGUGGACGGAAAAAGAUUCUUGCUGGUCUUAGAUGAUGUUUGGAACGAGGACUACAGCUUGUGGGUAGACUUAAAAGCUCCGUUCCUGGGUGCUGCACCAAACAGUAAGAUGAUCGUCACCACACGCAAUUUAAACGUUGCAUCAACAAUGGGACCAAUUGAACAUUAUAAUCUCAAGAGUCUGUUAGAUGAUGAUUGCUGGUCCAUUUUCAUACAGCAUGCAUUUGAAGGUAGAGAUCUUAACGCAUAUCAAAUUUCAGAAUCAUUCAGCAAGAAAGUUGUUGGCAAGUGUGGGGGCUUGCCUCUGGCAGCAAAAACGCUCGGGGACUUCUGCGCACAACAAGGCAUGAUGCGUGGGACGAUAUAUUGGAUAGCAAAAUAUGGGAUUUACAUCAACAAAGCAGCAUUCUCCCUGUGUUAAGAUUGAGUUACCAUCAUCUUCCGUCUCAUUUGAAAAGAUGUUUUGCUUUUUGUGCCAUCUUUCCAAAAGAUUAUGCAUUCACUGAGAGGGAGCUGACUUUCUUAUGGAUGGCUGGAGGUAUUAUUCGACAGUCAAGAAACAAUGAGCAGCUGGAAGAUUUGGGCAGCAAGUGCUUUGGUGAUCUAGUGUCGAGGUCAAUUUUUCAGCAAACAGCAAGCUCUGAUAGUUCUAAAUUUGUAAUGCAUGACCUUAUUCAUGAUCUUGCUGAAUUGGUCUCUGGAGAAACCAUAUUCAGGUUAGAGGAGGCCAAUACUCGGUCAAGAAGAUUUGAAAGGGUUCGCCAUUCUUCCUAUGCUUGUGGUGGAUGUGAUGGUAAAAAUAUGUUCGUGGUUUUCAAUGAAAUUGAACAUCUACGAACAUUCUUGCCAUUACGCUUACGCAGAAGAGGUGGCUCUAAUGCUGGUUACAUAACUCGUACGGUUCUAUCUGAUUUGCUGCCGAAGUUCAAAAGGUUGAGAAUGCUAUCUUUACAAGGAUACUGUAUUGGUGAGUUACCAAUUCCAUUUGAAGAUUUGAGACUUUUAAGGUUUCUCAACCUUGCUGACACUGACAUAAGAAGUUUACCCGAGUCAACAUGCAAAUUGCUGAACUUGGAAAUUUUUAUAUUAAGAAAUUGUUCCCGUUUGAUAAAGCUUCCACCCAAAAUGAGGAAUUUGAUCAAUUUACGCCAUUUGGAUUUAAGAGGUGCGAAGUUGCUGAAGGAGAUGCCAUUCGGAAUGAAAGAGUUGAAGAAGCUUCAAACAUUGUCCAAUUUCAUCGUGGGCAAGGGCGAAACUGCAUCUGGUUUGGAAGAUUUAAAAUGUUUAAACUUUCUUUGUGAUGAACUCUGCAUUGCUGGAUUAGAGAAUGUGAAUGGUCCACAGAAUGCAAGAGAAGCCGCAUUAUGUGAGAAGCACAAUCUUGAAGCAUUGACUCUAGAAUGGGGGUCUCAAUCUGACGGUCCUCGGGAUGCAGUACUAGAAGAGAAGGUACUUGACACUCUACAACCUCAUGAAUGUAUAAAAGAGCUGGCAAUCAGGCACUAUGGUGGUGCAAGAUUUCCACCUUGGAUCGGACAGCAUUCGUUCUCCGAGAUGAAGGUCCUUAAAUUGGAGAACUGUGGCAAUUGUGUAUCUCUGCCAUCGCUUGGCCUGAUGAGUUCACUUAAGCACCUUGCUGUUAAAGGGCUGAAGAAAUUAAAAAGCCUAGAGUCUGAGGUUUAUGGGGAGGGUUUCUCAAUGCCUUUUUCGUCACUGGAGAUUCUAAGUUUUGAGAAUUUGCCAGAAUGCGAGCAUUGGGACACCAAUAUCAAAGGAAAUGUGCUUGUUGAAAUAUUUCCUCGUCUCCAUAAACUUUCCAUUGUGGAAUGUCCCAAACUCUCCGGAAAACUGCCUGAGCUCCUGCCCUCCUUGAAGACACUUGUUGUUAGUAAAUGUGAAAAGUUGGUAGUUCCAUUGUCUUGCUAUCCAAUGCUUUGCAGAUUAGAAGUUGAUGAGUGCAAAGAACUAGUCUGCCGGACUCCGAUUGAUUUUAAGUUGAUAAAGUCGGUGACUAUUUCAAAUAGUUCAUUAGACAUGAAUGGACGCAAGGGGAUGCUAUACGAUGGUCCAGCUGGCUCUUUACUGCCAAAGCCCAUGACUACUACAAAUGUUUUGGAGUUUGGAAAAUUAUUGAAGCCUGGAUUUCAGAUAUUAGAAACUUUGGUAAUUGGCAAUUCUGAACAGCUCAAGUCAUGGAGGCAGCAUGGGGAUUUUCCGAAAAAAUACAUGGUCACUGACCAUGGGUUUAAGAAACCAGUACGAGGGCUGAAUAUGCUCGCUUCCCCUGAGGAGGUAUCAAUUGAAGAAAGUUGCGUACGUCUUGUUUUGUUUCCAGAGAUCAAUUUCUUUCCCAGAAAUCUGCGCUCUCUUCUAAUUAACAACAGCACUGCUUUGAAAUCCUUACCCGAGGAAAUGAUGGAAAACAAUUCACAACUCGAAAGGUUGUAUAUCAAGGAUUGCGACUCUCUAACAUUCAUCGCAAGACGGAGGCUACCAGCAUCUCUGAAAAGGCUUGAGAUAGAAAAUUGUGAGAAAUUGCAACGUCUGUUCGAUGAUGAAGAGGAUGCUUCUUCUUCUUGUCCUUCAUCCUCGUCUUCCCCAGUGAUGCUGAAACACCUGAGAAUCGAUAACUGCCCAGAGCUCACCAGUUUAUCAUCGGGUGUCCAAUUCCUUGAGGCGCUUGAAGACCUCAAGAUAGGGCAUUGUCCAAAGCUGGAGUCAAUACCGGAUGGCCUGCCCAAUCUUAAAUGUUUACAGAGCAUUUAUAUACGGGAUUGUCCAAGUCUUGUUUCCUUCCCAGAAAGAGGGCUUCCCCACACCAUUUCAGGGGUUUUCAUUGCGAGUUGUGUGAAGCUCGAAGCCUUGCCCAAUGAUUUGCACAAACUCAACUCUCUUCGAGGUUUAAGCAUACAGCUCUGUCCAAAUCUUGUAUCGUUUCCAGAAGAAGGUUUUCCUACCAAUCUAACAACCCUUGUAAUUGAAAAAUUCAAAUUGUAUAAGACACUCGUCCAGUGGGGGUUGCACAGGCUUACCUCUCUUAGAGACCUCUACAUCAUUGGAUGUGAUGAUGAAGCAGAGUGUUUUCCAGACGAGGAGAUAGGAAUGACGCUGCCCACCUCUCUCACUCAUCUGUCCUUUUGUGGAUUCCAAAAUUUGAUAUUUCUGUCUUCAAUGGGUUUUCAAAACCUCACCUCUCUUCAAUCAUUCCCAGAGGUGGGCUUUCCAUCCUCACUUUGGGGCUUAGACAUUAGAUAUUGUCCAAAGCUCAAAACAGCGUGCAAAAGAGAUGAAGGAAAAGAGUGGUCCAAAAUUGCUCACAUCCCUCGCGUUGAGAUAGACGGUAAAUUCAUAUACGAUCCAGAAGCAGAGGAGUAGAUUCUACUAUUAAGGUCAGUUGAUUUGUAUUAUCCGCUAUAACAAGCUCCUCCUUUUUUAUUUUUUUUUUUGAAAUAAUAAUUUUGCAGUCACUCACGUGAUUCCGUUUUCACAAGUCAGAUUGUACGUUGAGGCUAUUUGCCUUUUAAUCGCAGAUUAAAUUAUAACACUUAUCUUAAAAUUUAAUACCAUAGACAGAUAGACGAUUUUUUAAUCCAAAGUUUUUUUUAUUCACUUCAGUUAGCAUUUUUUUUUUCCCCAAAUCAUGCAAGCCGAGAGUUUCAAUCAAGAAUUGGAGGAUGUGAAUGGGAAUUUUGUGAAAGAGUAACAUAAUGGAUGAACGAACAUUUCAUAUGUGAUCUCAAAGUCAACAGAAUUUUAUUCACUCGUUGACUUUUCAACUGCUGUGGUUAUUUAUGGGUGAAAGAUAAGGGCAAUUACAAAAAAUUUGCAAAAUUUGUCCAUUUCUUAGAUGGUAGAAAUUGGAGUAUAAUAUUUUGGAGCAAGCAUACUUGAAAUUUCUUUCUUCAAUAUUUUGAUGCUUUCUUAUCCCAUGCACAAAAAUACUAGAAAAAACUAAUAACAACUAACCGAAAAUCCCAGGCGUCAUAUUCCUUUUUACCGCGUUUUAAAAUGCACAACAAUGAUAUUCUUACAAAUUUGCAAAAUUUGUCAAUUUCUUAGAUUUCAGAUAUUUUAAUGCUUUUUUUAAUUUUUGAUCUAGUAAAAAUACAUAGCCUUCACCGGCAAGAUUCUAGUCUUGGAUUUCACCUCUCUAACUCAUCUGUUCCCAUUGGGAUUCCAGAAAUUGAAAUUUCUGUCUUCAAUGGGUUUUCAAAGCCUCGCCUCUCUUCGAUUUUUGUGGAUCGGGAAUUGCACAAAUCUCACAUCAUUUCCCGAGGUCGAGGAAAAGAGCGGCCCAAACUUGCUCGCAUCCCUUAUUAGGUUAUGAUAGAUGGAAAAUUCAUAUACGAUCCAGAGUCAGAGGUGUUGAUUCUCUUAUUAAGGUCAGCUGAUUUCUAUUAUCCACUCUGACAAUCUCCUAUUAGUGUUUUUCCUUUUGAAAUUUUUUUUCCAAAAUUUUGCAGUUCCGUAUAAUUGAAAAUGCCAUUCAGUUGUUUCCUAAUAGUAUGUUGAGGCUAUUUGCUUUCUAUCGGUGUUUGUUAAGGUAAUUAGUGCUCCCUCGUAGGUGUGACUGGAUUUUUUUCACUUCCGUAAAUAUUGCAUUUUAGACUGGCAAAUUUAGCAGUAAUUUUAAUACAAUUUUGUUGGUGCCUUGUGUUCCAGAAGCUAGAAAAAUGUGUAGUUUUCAGAUAAGGAGGCUUGUCAGUUCUCUAGUAAGAAUCCAAUGAUUUGCUUUUGCACGUCCAUCUAAUUUGUGGAUCCUUGCAUCAGAAUUUGAUCAAUCCAAAAGGAAUUGCUUUUAGACAGAAGAAGAAUAGCAGCACCUAGCCUACCCGCAAACCUGAAACUAUUAGAUUGAGGUAAAAAAAUCAUUGACCCUCACAUGUUAACUUCUUCUAGUUACUUUCGUUGGGAAAAAAAAAAACAUUUAAGGAAUUUGCAAUUUGUUGUUAGUUAUGGUAUCUGAUGUUCUUUUCUGCUUUAGCGUUUGUAGAAUCUACUGUAUUAUGUGUUGGCAGUUGCCGUAUCUAAGGUAACUUGCCUUUAUUUGUUUGCUUCUGACUUAAGGACACCAACAUUUGCCAGAGAUUUAGAGAAUCAUCUCAAAACACUUAGCAAACUUGACAAACUUCAAGAUGCACUUGCCCCCACGCCUUAUUCUCAACAACGCAAAACUUGUGAGUACACCUAUGCCUGCAAUUAUUGUGAAGUGUUCGCAAUUCUGAUGCAGAGAAAUGGUUUCUUGAUGCAAAGUAUUAAACUGUUAAGAUUUAUCCUGCAGGCUUGUUAGAUGCUGGAUACGCGAAAAGCCAACAACAUCAAGAACUGCAACUCCAAGACCAGCUUUGCGUUAAUUCAGUCAGCUGUAAUAAUGAUGCAAAUGACACUAUAUCAAGCUGGACUUAGAGACUAGUCAGAUAAAUCAUCCAUUUCAUCAACGGUUAAUGUCAUGAUGGUGGCUAUCAGAGGAAACAAAAGAUGUGUCGGAAUCUAUACAAACAUUGAGAAGCAUGAGAGGAGCUUUGAUUUUGAGUAGGGUCAAUGAACUCAUAUUGGUAAGUGGUAAUUAAAGAAACUUUGUAAGCUUAGUAGAGUUUCAGUAUUUUCUGUUUGGAGUAUAGUUGAUAAGUUGACUCUGUUUAAGAAGCCCGAUUAUAGUAGCUGACUGUAUUAACCUUUUUUUUUUUUUUUUGGGUCUGCUGUUGUUUUUGGUUUCGAUUAUUUUUUCAACAUUGGGUUGAUCUGUUGAAGAACAAGCUUGGGUUUGAUUAUGCUUUAACUACAAGGAAGAGCCAGACUUGGAUGCAGGCGUUAAGCUUUUAAUGGGUAAGAACAAAUGAAUGCUUUAACUAUGUUUCUCACUUAUUAAAAUGCACGGAUUGAAGGCAUCUGGGUUGAUCCUGACAAUGUGAUGGAAAUACUUCUCUGUUUUCAUAUAACAGGACAAAUAGAGAUCUCUGAUCAUGCCUGAAUUUUUGUUGCAUUGAAAUUUCUACCAUUAUCAAACAUAGAAUGAACUAGGGAUACAUUAGCUUAAGACUAAAUUUUGAGAAGGAAGUUUGUACUUGCAGCCUAUAAAAUCAUGUCCAUGUUGUACGUUUCUUUGGGAAAUGAAAGAUUCUGUGUGUUCUUUUAUUUCAAGUUCACUGAAAUCACAUUUGUUUUCUCAGCUGCUUUCCAGAAGGUAACAACAUCAAUUUCAAAAAUGCUGGGGCAAGAUGUAUCAUGCAGUGCAACUCAACUUGAGAAUUCCUGGCCACAUUACCCGUAUGUCUAAUGAUCGCACAGUACAACCUUGAGAAGCUUGUAAUGAGUACACAACUGGGUGCAAGUAGUUUUGAAAUGAAUUUGCCUCAAAUGAUUUCUUGCCGGUGAUUAAUAUAACCUCUAUUCCAAAAUUCUUGGAACUGGUCAUACUAGCAAUGAAGGAUUGCAUACAUUGAAGACAUAGCUGAAGGCCUUGCGAGAGCUCUGUCAGCCCUUGUACCGGAAAACAGCUGGUCGUAGUCGCUUGUGAAUGAUAUGAUUAAUAGAUACUGCAAAAAUGAAUUGUGCCAUACAUUUUCAGCGCUCUGUGAAGAUGUCUUGGUCAUUUGUUUGAUGCUUGUUUGAUUUAUGUUGUAUUCAGCCAUAAAUCAGAGAUUCAGAACUUGGGUAUGUUUCUGGUUUCCAAAUCAAAAAAUUGCCUUGUGAUGUUAGUGUUCACUGUUUUCACAGGAGAUCAGGUUCCUUGUUAAUGAAUCAAGAAGAAGGCAAGCGCAUCCAUGUCCAAGUUCAAAUGUGUCUCCUCUAUUUUCUAUUACCCACUCAUUUAUUUUGAUUUCUUCAUUGUAAUUGAAUUAGUUUUUUAUUCCAAAUUAGUCAAAACCUCGUAGAGUCAUUAAGUUCUUUUAGCAUUUAAAGACAGAACUACGAACCAAAUGAUUUAAGUUCUUCGUUGUAAUUGAAUUUGCUUUCCCAUCUUUAAAGAUAUUAUGUUCUUUUUCACUUUUUCGAUUUGGUUAGUGGUGAUUUCUUAAAGACUCAAUCCAUUUGCGUUAAUACAUUUUUCUUUUGCCUUGAUUUCUGUUUCUUGGGGAGUUUAUACAUAUUCUUAUUUUAUGCUACACAUGCCAUAUACAGAUUCUUAUUUUAUGCUUCACAUGCCACAUGAAAGGUCAAAGCCUUGUGUGUGAUUAGAAUUUACUGGCAUCAUAGUAACUUUAAACCAUUGUGACGUUUUAGUAAUAACAGUCUGAGCUCUCCCUGAAGGAUUCAAAGCAUUUUAUUUUAUAUUAUACUCCUUUAUAUGGUUUGGCUGGUCUCUUUUAAGGCAAUUCCUGUUUAAAGUAAUCAAAAUUUUGAUUUCGAAGUGUCUUUCAACACUACCGCUAGUUCUUUAAGAAAAGUAAAUCGAUUUUGAGUCUUCUGUAUCAUCUGAUUGAAAUACAUGAAAGCACUCUUAGCUGCAAAAGUACACUUGGAGUUAUAAUAGCAUUCUGAAAUCUCCUUGAAGGAUUCAAAAGCUCUUUAUUUGCUAGUCUUUGCUUGCAAUAAACUCCUUUAAUAUAGAUUGGUUGAUCUUCUUUAAAGCAAUUACCAUAAGUUCUUUAAAUAAUAAAACGACUUUGAGUCUUAUGUAUCAUCUUGUUGAAAUACAUGAAAGCACUCUUGGCUGUAAAAAUGCACUUGGGGUUAUAUAUAAAGUCUUCAACAGAAUUUUAUUUCCCCCUUUAUCCUCAUGGUGGUCUUUUUAGUUGUUUUUUAAGAAAUCGCUUGAAGGUUCUCUUUAAAAAUAAUUUUAACAUAAGCAUUCUUUAGAAGCACUUUAGAUGUCUGGCAUUUAGAAAAUUUUGUUCCUGUGUUCACAUAAUAUAAUAUAUAUAUAUAGAAAGCUGACUGUAGAAUAGAGGAGAACGAGUUGGUGUUGGUCUGAACUCUGAUCUUUGAAUCUCAUGUGACUCCACUACUUUUUACUUGUUCUGUACAAGGUCUUUUAGCUUUUCAAAAAGUUUUAGCUUUAUGGAUAAAAUACUGUUAAUUGUAAUCUAUAAAUAAUGAAAGGAAUUAAUAAAAUAUUUGGUAAAUUUUAUUUUCUAAAGUGUUAUGAGUUCUAAAACGGCUGUAUGUAUAUAAAUUUAUUUACACAUAUAUUUAUAAAUAUGAUUAUAUAAUAAUAUUUUAUGUGUACAUAUCAUAAUUGAUAACUAAAAUAAAUAUUUUUAUUUUAUUAAUGGUUUUUCCGUCUCAAUGUAGUUGGUAAUAAUAAUCUCUUUAGAUGUAACGAUUUUAUUUCCUAACUGAAUAAGGAAAAUUUUAGAUUUUUAUAAUAAAUGUUAAAUAUAUAUAGAAUUACAUUAAGUAUGAAAUAAUCCUCAAAAUUAGAUUUGAAAAGUUAUUCUUUUCUUGCUUUUAAAAAUAUGUCAUAUGAUGAGAUAAUUUUACUAAAAGUGAUUUUUUUUUAAAAAAAUUACUAAACAUCAAAAUUAACUCUUAACUUUUUAAAAUCAUUUCUAAUCUUCUCAUCCUAAGUUCUUUAUUGUUUUGUACAAAAUCCAAGGUUUUGACUUUUAUAAAAUGCCCACUCAAAAAUAAAUUAUUUUCUAAUUAAGAUUUGUUGUUAAUGUAUAACUCGAAGUAAUAUUAGAUAUUUGUAAUUUUAUUUCAAAAAUUUUAUUCAAAUGAUAUGGCAAGCAAUGAACAAUAGUUGAUAGCAAUUUUUUUUUUUUAACAAUGUUCAAAUCAAUCAGUUGCAUUAUCUCACCAUUUUUAUGAUGUCAUGUUAUUUUAAAUGAUUUUUUUAAUUUUUAUAUAAAACAUACGACGUGUUAACAUCAUUUGCAUAACUUGACCUUUUUUUUUUUCCUACAAAUAGUGUUUAAAAUUCAACACACAGAUGUGCCUCUUUCUUACUAUACUGGAAUCCUCGGUAAACUUUUUGUUUGCGCAAUUUAUGUGAGCAAAUUGUGUCUUCUUUUUCAUAUGUAAAUGUUUUUGAUAUCUUGAUGUGAAGGUAGAAAAUUGCAUGUUUUGAGUUUUUGCAUAUUUGAUGGAAACACAGAACCGUACCUGAAUAUUUCAGAACCCCCUUUUCUUUGAAGUUUGAACACUUUUCUUGAAUGUAUCAACUUUAUUUAUGGGAUAUGUUGCCAAAUUGGCAAAUCUAUUCGUUAUAAAACUUUCCUUUGACAGUUUAAUCUAAGCAGAUGUUAAUUCUGCAAAUAGAGUGUGCCUUAGAUUAGUUUCAUAGAUUUGUCUCCUUCUGUACAGUAAAAACUUUGAGCAUUUUCGCCAUAUUCUGAUCAAUACACUCCAACUAGUUAGUUCUUGAGGCGUUUUAUGGUUUCGUGGAGUGAGGCAAGAUGUAUACGUUUGCAAAUUGGCAAUGUCUUUUGCUUGAUGGGUUGAGAGUUGUGAGUGUCAACAGGAAACAAGACCUCUGUUUUAUGAACUCCAAAAAGUUAUUCUGUUAGAAAGAUCGAGACAGAGGCCAUACUAUAUUUAUUAUUGCUAUAAAAGUGUGAAAAAAUAUUCUUUAUUUAAUAUUCUAAACGAUUGAGCCAUUUAGUUAUGAUAUUCUGCUGUAUUGGGGCUAAUAAUCUAAGUCGGUUCAAAGUGGUAAAUUUAUAAAUUGAUAGGUAUGCCUGGUAUGACCGCUUACGUUGGAUUUUAUGAGGUCUGCUCUCCUAAGCAUGGAGAGUGUGUCUUCAUAUCAGCAGCAUCUGGUGCAGUUGGUCAGCUUGUGGGGCAGUUUGCAAAGUUAUUGGGCUGCUAUGUCGUCGGAAGUGCUGGAAGCAAAGACAAGGUAGGUUAUCUGUGUGAAGUACUUGAUUGUUUCCGUGUUACUUUCAAACAUUUAAAUUAAAAAGGAAAUUUUCAUAAUCUUGCCUUUUCUAUGAUUUUCAAAACCAAGGUUGAUCUACUGAAGAACAAGUUUGGGUUCGACGAGGCAUUUAACUAUAAAGAAGAAGCUGAUUUGAAUGCAGCAUUGAAAAGGUUAGCAUCAAUAAAUGCCUUAGCUUGAUGCAGCUUGAUGAAGUAUGAUACACAUUUCUGACCAAUAUACUGCGUUCCCUGAUCUCUUACUUGAAAUAUCUUGGUUUGAGAAUCUCAUGCCAAUGCCUUUAACAUUUUGGCAGGUACUUUCCUGAAGGAAUUGAUAUAUAUUUUGAAAACGUUGGUGGAAAAACGCUUGAUGCAGUGCUACCCAACAUGAAAAUCCGUGGUCGAAUUGCUGCAUGCGGUAUGAUCUCACAGUACAAUCUUGACAAGCCUGAAGGUGUGCACAACUUGAUGUAUCUUGUUUCGAAACGGCUUCGAAUGGAAGGAUUCAUUGUUCUCGAUCACUAUCACCUCUAUCCAAAGUUUCUGGAAAUGAUCAUUCCUCACAUCAAAGAAGGGAAGCUUGUAUACGUCGAAGACAUGGCUGAAGGUCUUGAGAGUGCUCCGGCAGCUCUCAUCGGUCUAUUCUCUGGCCAGAAUGUUGGGAAACAGGUGGUUGCUGUUGCUCCUGAAUGAAGAACAAGUUAGUGUUGCAGUUUGAAUGAUGCUGCUGCACAACUGCUGCCGAAAAAAUCCUUAAUAGAUGAUUAGCAAGGUUUCAAAAAUAAAAAGAAAUGUUUGUGCAACGUGCCGAAUAUGACAGCCACAAAGAAAGAGCAUACAAAUUGAUUGGUUUUAUGUCUUCUCUAGGAGAAAGCUACAAUACAAGAAAUUGUAUUGAUGGAGCCAUGGACCAAAUUUCUUAUUUAAACUUUUAAUUUUUUUUAUUAAAAUUACUUAUGUUAUUAUGGUUUAUAUUUUUAGAAAUUCUUUAGAAAUUAAUACAGAACUAGUAGCAAGUUGAGAAAUCUACUGAAUAGUCGAGAUAUGAUCAUGUUUAUUGAAUUAAAUUGACAAUCAUCAUUUUGAUAAAUUAUUGUUAGGAUAUUUGAUUCAUCACAGGUGUAAGUAACUAAAUGUGCUAAAAAAAAAGUUAAUGAGUUGUGAGUGUUUGAUAUUCGUUUGUUGUAAUUCUUUUAAUAAUUGUUGUGGGAAAAAAAUUAUGGUAAAAAAAUUAUAAUUAUAAAAUAAAAAUUAAUAAUAUAUUAUAAAUAAAAUUUUUAAAUAAUAAUUUUAAUAAAAUAAUAAAUAUAUUAUGAAUUUUUCAUUAUAAAUUUUUAAGUUAAAAUAAUAAAUAUUUAUUAAAUAUUUUAAUAGCACAACUUUUAAAUUAUAACAGUACAAUGUAAAUACCAGAGGUCUUAAAAAAUAAAAUUACAGUCAAGUUUUAAAACUGUUAAUAAUGCUAUUCAUAAAGGCGCUCGUCGUGUAAACAACACAUGGGACCCAACCAAUAAAUGUUUAUGAUCCUCAACUUUCCUCCUCACCGUCCCUGCAAACAAUUCUGAUCUUCUUGUCUGAGAAAAAAACUGAGAAACAAUGGCGGCCGAACAAGAAGCUGUGAGCAAUAAGCGGGUGAUUCUAAGCAACUAUGUGACAGGUUUUCCAAAAGAAUCGGACAUGAAGAUAACAUGUGGAUCAAUAAAACUGGAGGUAGCAGACGGUUUAAAAGACACGGUGCUUUUGAAGAAUCUUUAUAUUUCUUGUGAUCCUUACAUGCGAGAGCGUAUGAGCAAGCUUGAUAGACCUUCUUUUGUUGAUUCAUUCCAUCCUGGUGAGGUUAGUUCAUCACGACCCAUCUCUUGAUUUUUUUUUUUUUUUCAUUUGCUUCAAGUUUUGAUGAGUUUCUGAGGUCAUUUGUACGGUUUUGGAAUGUGAACACUAUUAGUGAUUUUGGGGCUGUAACUGUCAUUAAUGAUAUGUAGUAAUUCAAUCAGAAUUUGGAUUUAGUGCUGAUAUGAUCUCUGCUCAUUUUUUAAAAUCUUGUGUCCAGAUGCAUUUUUAUAAUCUUGUACGGUUGAGAUUGUAUGUAGAUUAAUCUACGUGCAGUAUUCUUGUCUAAUGACUACUAACCACAACCUUAUGAGACGAUCGAAACCAAGCUCAGAUCAAUAAUCCAAUUGAGAGAGGGUCCUAACUCAAGCUUAUCGUGUGUAGGAAUAUUUCGGUUAAAUUGUAAUUCUUUUAAUAAUUGUUGUGAAAAAAAAAAGUUAUGAUAAAAAAAUUAAUAAUUAUAAAAUAAAAAUUAAUUAUAUAUAAUAAAUAAGAUUUUUAAAUAAUAAUUUUAAUAAAAUAUAAUAAAUACAUUAUCAAUUUUUCAUCGUUAAUUUUUAAGUCACAACCACAAAUAUUUACUAAACACUUUAACACCAUAAUUAACACCACAACUAUUGAAUUAUAACUGUACAAUCUAGACGCCAAGAGGCCUUAGUAUGAAAAAAAAAAAUUACAGUUAAGUUAAAAUUCAUCAUACAGAUGUGCCACUUUCAUACUAUACCGGGAUCCUCGGUAAUGAUUUUUGUUACACAAUAAGAUUUGCUUAUAGUAAUAUCAAUACAUAUGCUGCUUAAAUGCUUUCUGAUUUUUUGCCGGCCAUUGUCCAUUUUGCCAGGGAGUCUAUAAUUGAAGGAAUUUACUGAAGGAAUGCUGAUUGUUGGGAAUUUGAUUAUUCUAGGUAUGCCUGGUGUAACUGCAUACGCUGGUUUAUACGAAGUUUGCUUUCCGAAGAAAGGAGAGUAUGUCUAUGUAUCUGCAGCAUCUGGAGCUGUUGGUCAGCUUGUUGGACAGUUUGCAAAAUUAGCUCGUUGCUAUGUUGUUGGAAGUGCAGGAAGCAAAGAAAAUAUAGCACCGUGCCUUCUAGCAGAAUUUUACUUGCUUUAUGUUCCAACUAAGCAUCCAUAUUUGAUCAUGAUAAUUAGCAAGGUCAAUAAUUUUUUUUUGACUAUUUUUUCAACGUAAGGUCGAUUUGUUGAAGAACAAGUUUGAACGAUGCUUUUAACUACAAGGAAGAGCCUGAUUUUGAUGCAGCACUCAAAAGGUCAGCUGCAACAAACGUUUCAACUCUAAUAUUUCAUUUUAAUAUUACAGAGCUUUGGUUGAAGUGUGUGAGUUGAUCCCAGAAACGUAACUUCAUCAGUGUCUCUGUUUUCAAAAAACAUGACAAAUAGAAAUCUGAUUUUGCUUUAAAAUUUCCCAGAUGCUUCCCUCAAGGAAUCGACAUAUAUUUCGAAAAUGUUGGGGGAAAGAUGCUGGACGCAGUGCUACUCAACAUGAGGCUCCGGGGCCGCAUUGCAGUAAGCAGUAUGAUCUCACAGUAUAACCUGGAAAAACCCGAAGGCGUACACAACUUAGAGCAACUGAUCGGGAAACGGAUUCGCCUGGAAGGAUUUCUAGCUGGUGAUUACUAUCACCUCUAUCUGAAAUUCUUGGAACUGGUCAUUCCUCCAAUCAGAGAAGGAAAGAUGCUGUAUGUGGAAGACAUGGCCGAAGGACUCGAGAAAAUUUCUCGUAACUGCUACACAUUAAACGCGUUUCACAUUUCCACUCUCUUUCUAUAAAUAAAUACGCACAUAAAAUUUCUCACCAUCCAAAAACAAAAUCUACAUAAAAAAUGGCGGGUGAAGAAGCAGUGAGCAACAAGCAGGUGAUUCUGAGCAACUACGUGACAGGGUUUCCCAAGGAAUCAGACAUGAAGAUAAUAACAGGCUCAAUAAACCUUAAGGUGCCAGAGGGUUCAAAAGACACAAUGCUUUUGAAGAAUCUUUAUCUUUCCUGUGAUCCUUACAUGAGAGGACGUAUGAGCGAGCUUGAUAAGCCUUCGUUUGUUGCCUCAUUCGAGUCUGGCGAGGUCAGUUACUUCAAUUCCCAUCUCUUGGUUUCAUAAUCUUUUAUGGUUUUAGAAGGUGUUUUAGGGAAACAUUGUGGUUUUGGUUAGUGGGCAUGAGUCUUUGAAGAGAUUAUAAUGUGUAGGACUAUGCAUGCAAUAAUAAGCAUAGGGGAUCUUGUUAGGAGAAGAUUCUCUUAGCAAAAUAAAAACUUUUAUCUUAUCAAAACAUAUGCAGGGAACUUAGUUAUGAUGUCAUGUUAGCAUUGUCUCUGAGGAUUUGAUUUCUUGAUGGGGAAAGGGGAAUUUAAGGUUACAUUAUUCAGCAAUGGUUUUUUUUUUAAAUUAUGUUCAAAUUAUGCAGCCUUUAAGCGGAUAUGGAGUGUCCAAAGUGUUGGAUUCCACGCCUCCAAAUUAUAAGAAAGAUGACUUGGGUGGUGUUUGUUUUUUAACUUAAUGACUUAAAGUGACUUAACUUAAUUAAUUAAGUUAAUUAGAGAUGUUUGUUUUUAUAACUUAAUGUGACUUUUUAAAUAAUUUUGACUUAAUAAAAUAAGCCAAUUUUAUUUACUUUUUACUUAAUAGAGACAUCUGAAUUAAGUCAAGUACUUUCUAAUGUCAAAAAUAUACAUGCUUUAUAAUUUAUUUUUCAUGUCUAUCCCAAAACUCACCCAUAGACAUUUACCCCACAUAAUAAUCUCAUCAUUAUUUUUUUAGCCGUCAUGAAAUCCCUCCUCACUUUGGUAUCAACUCCUCAACUAUUGAAGAUCAAAAUUACAUGCGACAACUUCGAGAUGAAUGGCAAAUCAACUGUUUCAAGCAUCUUAUUAGUUUUUUUUCUUUUUUAUAUUAUAUACGAUAAAAUUUGAAAUUUAUGGUAUUUUAUAUAUUAAAAUUCCAAAAUCAUUAUAUAUUCACUUGAAUAUAGUUUUACUUAUAAAUGUUAAAAUAUUGUGAUAUUUAAUAUAUUGUUUAUUUGACAUUCAAAUUUAAUAAGGAUACAAAUGUAAAAGUACAUAUUUUUCAGUUUUUUAAGUUGAAAAAAGAAAACAACUUAAUAAUUAUUUUUCGAGAUUCAGACGAAAAAACAAACAUAUUAUUCAGAUUCAGACAUUCAGAUCUAUUCAGAAUUUAGACUAAUUCAAGUCUAUUCAGAUUUCAGAUAAAAAAACAAACGCCACCUUGGUCCGGGGCUUAACCAGUUGGGAGGAGUUCAGUCUCAUCCAAUCACCACAACUUCUGAUUAAAAUUCUGGAUACAAGUGUGCCUCUGCCAUAAUUAAUUGACAGGUUGCUAUGUUGUUGGAAGUGCCGGAAGCAAAGAAAAGGUGAGUUUGCACCCUUAACCCUUACGCUCUAAAUAAAAACAUAACACCUUCUGAAAGAAUUGUGCAUAGAGAAUUUUGCAUGUCACAUUAUUUGUGUUCUAACUAAUCAUGGAUAUUUGAUCAUUAGUCUAACUAAAACUGACAUAUUACCACCUAGUUGACUGGUCUUUGAGAAAUGUUAGUUGAUAUAUGCUUGAAAUCAUACUUUGUUUUAUUAGAUGAUUAUAUUAACCUGCUUCUUUUUCUUUGUGCUGUUUCUCGUUUGAUUACAUUUUCAACAUUAGGUCGAUCUAUUGAAGCACAAGUUUGGGUUUGAUGAUGCCUUUAACUAUAAGGAAGAGCCUGACUUGGAUGCAGCUCUUAAUAGGUUAGCACGAAUGAAUGCUUUAACCAUUUUUCUCACUUCAUUAUUACAAUGCGCUGAUUGAAGUAAUCAGUGUUGGCUCUGAAAAUGUAACGUAUACUUCUCUGUUUUCAUAAAACAGGACAAACAGUGAUCAGUGAUCUCAUUCGUUACAUUGAUAUUUUCUACCAUUGCCAUACAUAGUAUAAACUAGGAAUUCAGUUGCUUAAUAGAUAUUCAUUUCAGAGGGAAAUUUUCACUUGCAGCUAACAGAAUCAUGUUUGUGAUGUAUGUUUAUUUGGGAAAUGAAAGGAUUUGUUGCAUUAUUUUAUUCCAAGUUUGCUGAAAUCAUAUUUGUUUUCCCAGGUGCUUUCCUGAAGUUAUCGACAUCUAUUUCGAAAAUUUUGGGGGUAAGAUGCUUGAUGCAGUGCUACUCAACAUGAGAAUUUGUGGCCGCAUCGCUGUAUGCGGAAUGAUCUCACAGUACAACUUUGAGAAGCCUGAAGGUGUACACAACUUGAUGCAAGUAAUUGGAAAACGAAUUCGCAUGGAAGGAUUUCUUGCCAGUGAUUUCUACCACCAAUAUCCAAAAUUCUUGGAACUGGUUAUGCCGGCAAUCAAAGAAGGAAAGUUAGUAUAUGUCGAGGACAUAGCUGAAGGCCUCGAGAAAGCUCCAUCAGCCCUAGUUGGGAUAUUCACAGGUCAAAAUGUUAAAAAACAACUGGUUGUAGUUGCUCGGGAAUGAUAUGAUUACUAUAUGCUUUAAAAAGUGGACUUUGCCAUGCACUUUAAAACCUUAGUGAAGAUGCCUUUGUCUUAUUUUUGAUACAUGUUAUGUUUGUUUGAUCAAGUUGUACUCAGCUAUAAAUCAAAGAUUCAGAACAUGUGUAUGAUACUGGUUUCUAAAUCAAUGAACGCCUUGAAAUGUUAGUGUUUUCACAGGAGAAUGCAAUUUAAUUCAUCAACAAUGUCCCAACAAGACCCUCAGAGCUGUAGCUUGUAAAGUUAAUUACGAUAUUUUUUUGUAAAGUAAAUUACCAUAUUUUUUUCUUUCCAAUAUAUUGCUUAUUUCAUAGAAAGUUUACAUUAAAGUCUCAUGUUUCUUUGAAAGGUAAGCAAGUGUGAACGUUUCAAUCUAGAGAUGGAAAAUGCAUUUCCGGGAACUUACUUGAUAAAUGAAGUUUUCAUCUCUGACCUUGAUGUUUCCCACAGGUGCAUUCAUUUCAGCUGAUCUAUAUAAUUUUGUUUUCGAAGGAGAGACACAAAAUCUCCGUUGUUAAGGGGAGAAUUUAGAGUGGCUUUGACUGUUAACAAAUAGCCUAAUGUAAGACUUAACCAACUUCCUGCCCUGUUGUAUGCUUAUGAAUUUUGAUAGAGCUAAGAGUUUGCAGAAGCUAUUGUAUUAUAUGUCGUUAGAGGCUGUAAACAUCAAACACAUUUAAAUUUCAAUGAAAAUUUACUGGAAGUAAAUUUCCUUUGAUCCCACAGGUGACUAAUUAAUGAGAACUUGACAAUGACAAAAGAAAGUGUAUGAACUUUGCAGGCUGGCAUGCCAAUAUUGACUGGGUGGCACCAUCCACCAUCUGCAAGUGAAUAUCAUUGUUGUUUAAUCAACAAGGUGGAGUCCACUGGGACCACACCACAUCGUCAGCCUUAUCUCUAUUCCUCAAUUUUCAGUAUUCCAUACAUCAAAACAAUUUCAGUUUUGUUAUCAAUUAUAAUUUCAUUGUUGGUGACGAUUCUGAUUCCUUUCUUUCUGACAAAACGGAACCAUGGUUGCUGUGGGAGAGAUCUUACUCAACGCCUUCUUUCAGGUGUUGUUUGACAGGUUGGCUUCCCGUGAUUUGCUCAGCUUUGUCCGUCAACUUGGAGGCGGGGUCGAUUCCGAGCUCAAGAAGUGGCAAAGAAAGCUGAAGAUGAUUCAGGCGGUGCUCAACGAUGCAGAGGAGAAGCAACUGACUGACGAGGCUGUGAAGAUGUGGCUGGACGAUCUCCAAGACUUGGCUUAUGACGCUGAGGACAUUCUUGAUGAGUUUGCUACUCAAGCUUUGGAAAGCAAGUUGAUGGCGCAAAAUCAGGAUAGCUCUGGCCAGCUUCUCAGUUUCAUCCCGGCUAGUUUGAAUCCGAAUGCUGUUAGGUUCAAUUAUAGCAUGAGGUCCAAGAUUAACGAUAUUACUAGCCGGUUGGAGCAACUCUGCAAAUAUAGAAUUGAACUUGGGCUGCAACGGAUUCCUGAAGGGGCAUCAUCAACUGCUGCUGCUGCACACCAGAGGCCACCCAGUUCAAGCGUCCCACCAGAACGUGAAGUUUUUGGUAGAGAAGAAGAUAAGGCCAAAAUUCUUGAUAUGGUAUUGGCCGAUAGCCCAAGUGAUCAUGCCGACUUUGCUGUAAUACCCAUUGUUGGCAUGGGCGGGAUAGGAAAAACAACUCUCGCUCGGGAGGUCUACAAUGACAAGGCCGUUGAACAUUCCAAGUUUGAUGUAAAAGCAUGGGUUUGUGUAUCUGAUGUCUUUGACGUUUUGGGCAUCUCAAAGGCGCUUCUCGAGUCAAUCACCCGCAGGCCAUGUCUUCUAAACAGUUUAAACGAAGUGCAGGUUGAAUUGAAAGUAGCUGUGGAUAAAAAAAGAUUCUUGCUGGUCUUAGAUGAUGUUUGGAACGAGGACUACAGCUUGUGGGUAGACUUAAAAGCUCCGUUCCUGGGUGCUGCACCAAACAGCAAGAUGAUCGUCACCACACGCAAUUCAAGUGUUGCAUCAACAAUGAGACCCAUUGAUCGUCACCACACGCAAUUCAAGUAUUACGAUCUCAAGAGUCUGUUAGAUGAUGAUUGCUGGUCCAUUUUCAUAAACCAUGCAUUUGAAUCUACAGACCUUAGCGCACAUCGAAUUUCAGAAUCAUUCCGCGAGAAAGUUGUUGGCAAGUGUGGGGGCUUGCCUCUGGCAGCAAAAACACUCGGGGGCCUUCUUCGUACUAAAACGCAUGCUGAGUGGGACGGUAUAUUGGAUAGCAAAAUAUGGGAUUUACCUCGGCAAAGCAGCAUUCUCCCCGUGUUAAGAUUGAGUUACCAUCAUCUUCCUUCUCAUUUGAAAAGAUGUUUUGCUUUUUGUGCCAUCUUUCCAAAAGAUUAUGCAUUCACUGAGAGGGAGCUGACUUUCUUAUGGAUGGCUGGAGGUAUUAUUCGACAGUCAAGAAACAAUGAGCAGCUGGAAGAUUUGGGCAGCAAGUGCUUUGGUGAUCUAGUGUCGAGGUCAAUUUUUCAACAAACAGCAAUCUCUGAUAGUUCUAAAUUUGUAAUGCAUACUUGAAAUUUCUGUCUUCAAUAUUUUGAUGCUUUCUUAUCCCAUGCACAAAAGUACUAGAAAAAACUAAUAACAGCUAACCGAAAAUCCCAGGCGUCAUAUUCCUUUUUACCGCGUUUUAAAAUGCACAACAAUGAUAUUCUUACAAAUUUGCAAAAUUUGUCAAUUUCUUAGAUUUCAGAUAUUUUAAUGCUUUUUUUAAUUUUUGAUCUAGUAAAAAUACACAGCCUUCACCGGCAGGAUUCUAGUCUUGGCUUUCACCUCUCUAACUCAUCUGUUCCCAUUGGGAUUCCAGAAAUUGAAAUUUCUGUCUUCAAUGGGUUUUCAAAGCCUCGCCUCUCUUCGAUUUUUGUGGAUCGGGAAUUGCACAAAUCUCACAUCAUUUCCCGAGGUCGAGGAAAAGAGCGGCCCAAACUUGCUCGCAUCCCUUAUUAGGUUAUGAUAGAUGGAAAAUUCAUAUACGAUCCAGAGUCAGAGGUGUUGAUUCUCUUAUUAAGGUCAGCUGAUUUCUAUUAUCCACUCUGACAAUCUCCUAUUCGUGUUUUUCCUUUUUAAAUUUUUUUUCCAAAAUUUUGCAGUUCCGUAUAUUGGUGUUUGUUAAGGUAAUUAGUGCUCCCUCAAUAUUGCAUUUUAGACUGCCAAAUGUAGCAGUAAUUUUAAUACAAUUUUGUUGGUGCCUUGUGUUCCAGAAGCUAGAAAAAUGUGUAGUUUUCAGAUAAGGAGGCUUGUCAGUUCUCUAGUAAGAAUCCAAUGAUUUGCUUUUGCACGUCCAUCUAAUUUGUGGAUCCUUGCAUCAGAAUUUGAUCAAUCCAAAAGGAAUUGCUUUUAGACAGAAGAAGAAUAGCAGCACCUAGCCUACCCGCAAACCUGAAACUAUUAGAUUGAGGUAAAAAAAUCAUUGACCCUCACAUGUUAACUUCUUCUAGUUACUUUCAUUGGGGAAAAAAAAACAUUUAAGGAAUUUGCAAUUUGUUGUUAGUUAUGGUAUCUGAUGUUCUUUUCUGCUUUAGCGUUUGUAGAACCUACUGUAUUAUGUGUUGGCAGUUGCCGUAUCUGAGGUAACUUGCCUUUAUUUGUUUGCUUCUGAGUUAAGGACACCAACAUUUGCCAGAGAUUUAGAGAAUCAUCUCAAAACACUUAGCAAACUUGACAAACUUCAAGAUGCACUUGCCCCCACGCCUUAUUCUCAACAACGCAAAACUUGUGAGUACACCUAUGCCUGCAAUUAUUGUGAAGUGUUCGCAAUUCUGAUGCAGAGAAAUGGUUUCUUGAUGCAAAGUAUUAAACUGUUAAGAUUUAUCCUGCAGGCUUGUUAGAUGUUGUAUACUCGAAAAGCCAACAACAUCAAGAACUACAACUCCAAGACCAACUUUGCGUUAAUUCAGUCAGCUGUAAAAAUGAUGCAAAUGACACUAUAUCAAGCUGGACUUAGAGACUAGUCAGAUCAAUCAUCCAUUUCAUCAACGGUUAAUGUCAUGAUGGUGGCUAUCAGAGGAAACAAAAGAUGUGUCAGAAUCUAUACGAACAUUGAGAAGCAUGAGAGGAGCUUUGAUUUUGAGUAGGGUCAAUGAACUCAUGUUGGUAAGUGGUGAUUAAAGAAAUUUGUAAGCUUAGUAGAGUUUCAGUAUUUUCUGUUUGGAGUAUAGUUGAUAAGUUGACUCUGUUUAAGAAGCCCGAUUAUAGUAGCUGACUGUAUUAACCUUUUUUUUUUUGGUCUGCUGUUGUUUUUGGUUUCGAUUAUUUUUUCAACAUUGGGUUGAUCUGUUGAAGAACAAGCUUGGGUUUGAUUAUGUUUUAACUAUAAGGAAGAGCCAGACUUGGUUGCAGGCGUUAAGCUUUUAAUGGGUAAGAACAAAUGAAUGCUUUAACCAUGUUUCUCACUUAUUAAAAUGCAUGGAUUGAAGGCAUCUGGGUUGAUCCUGACAAUGUGAUGGAAAUACUUCUCUGUUUUCAUGUAACAGGACAAAUAGAGAUCUCUGAUCAUGCCUGAAUUUUUGUUGCAUUGAAAUUUCUACCAUUACCAAACAUAGAAUGAACUGGGGAUACAUUAGCUUAAGACUCAAUUUUGAGAAGGAAGUUUGUACUUGCAGCCUAUAAAAUCAUGUCCGUGUCGUACGUUUCUUUGGGAAAUGAAAGAUUCUGUGUGUUCUUUUAUUUCAAGUUCACUGAAAUCACAUUUGUUUUCUCCGAUGCUUUCCAGAAGGUAACAACAUCAAUUUCAAAAAUGCUGGGGCAAGAUGCAUCAUGCAGUGCGACUCAACUUGAGAAUUCCUGGCCACAUUACCCGUAUGUCGAAUGAUCGCACAGUUCAACCUUGAGAAGCUUGUAAUGAGUACACAACUGGGUGCAAGUAGUUUUGAAAUGAAUUUGCCUCAAAUGAUUUCUUGCUCGCAUCCCUUGGGUUAUGAUAGAUGGAAAAUUCAUAUACGAUCCAGAGUCAGAGGUGUUGAUUCUCUUAUUAAGGUCAGCUGAUUUCUAUUAUCCACUCUGACAAACUCCAAGACCGGGUUUUUUUUUUUUUUAAUUUUGCCGUUCUGUAUAAUUGAAAUGCCACUCACUUGUUUCCUUCUUCACAGGUCCGAUAGUAUGUUGAGGCUAUUUGCUUUUUAUCGGUGUUUGUCAAGGUAAUUAGUGCUGCCUCAUAGGUUGAUUACUCACAGAUGAAAUCAUAACUUUUAUCUUAAAAUUUAAUAGCAUACACAGAUAGAUGAUUUUUAGUCCAAAGUUUUUUUAUUCACUUCAAUCAAAAUUUUAGAUUGCAGAUUUUUGUCAAGUAUUUCAUUACAAUUUUUUCAUUUUUUAUUUUAAACCAGAAUAUGAGUAUAACAUUUUGGAGCGUGCAUACUCUGAUGCAUGCAAUUAACUGUUUUUAAUCAUUGGAUUUUGAAAUUAAUAAUGGUAAGAUGUGUACUUAUUCUGUCUUCCAACAACCUUGGCCUCUUUCUUCGGUCGCAUAUCUAAUGAAUAUUUCUCUGUUUAGUUAAGGAUGAAUGCUUGGAGUGGGGUACUUGGUAACAUUUCUGCCUCAGAUGAAUCCUUGAAGAAAUGCCCGCAGUUCCUGAGACCAAAUACAGGUCUGAUUCAAAACAGCACCUUUCUCAGAAAAUAUGAUCCAAGGCAAAGUCAUGUUCUGAUAAUGUUUCCUUAAGUACAAAGUUGCAAGGAAACUUGAUUCAUUAACUACAGUUUUUUAUUUUUAGGACCUUGUAUCUGAAAGGUUCAGUGUUUUUUUUUUUUCAAAUUUAUUGUUCAGAUCUCAGAGGAGUAUAUGGUUUAGAUUACAAAACACCCAUGAUUAAUUUCAUUUUUUUUUUUUUAUUUCAGGGAGAAGAAGUGGUCAGUUUCAAUCCGGAAUUGGAAUAUGGCAAUUUGGUUCAAGCACACACACCUGGUCACUUGGUCAGUGAACCUGAACUUUACGCAGUUUUUUCAACUCAGUGAUUUUUGGAACGCAUAGUGGUGUAAGGAAAUCAAAAGAAAUUUAUGCAUAGUCAAAUUCUGAUAUUUGCUAUAUAUUAUACAUUCUAAAGUUUCUCCAGUUUGUUCUCAGAUUACCAUCAUUUUUUGCCUUCACCAAAAAAAAAAAAUUGAGUGGCUUUCCAGUGGAUAUUUAAUCGGAGGUAUGACUGGAUUUUUUUCACUUCUGUAAAUCUUGCAUUUUAAACUGGCAAAUUUAACUUUAAUUUUAAUACGACUUUGUUGGUGCCUUGUGCUCCAGAAACUAGAAAGAUGUGUAGUUUUCAGAUAAAGGGGCUUGUAAAUUCUCUAGUAAGAAUCCAAUAAUUUGCUUUUGCACGUUCAUUUUAUUUGUGGAUCCUUGCAUCUGAAUUUAAUCAAUCCAAAAGGAAUUGCUUUUAGACAGAAGAAGAAUAGCAGUACCUAGCCUAUGACAUAGUAUAUGGACCUGCAAACCUGAAACUAUUAGUUUGAGGUAAAAAAUUCAUGACCCUCACAUGUUAACUUUCAUGAAAAACACAUUUAAGAAAUUUGCAAUUUUUUGUUAGUUUCGUAUCCGAUGUUGUUGCAUCACAGUAACUUUAAACCACUGCGACAUUUUUAUAAUAACAGUCUGAGAUCUCCCUGAAGGAUUCAAAGCAUUUUAUUUUAUAUUAAACUCCUUUAUGUGGGUUUCGACACUACCACAAGUUCUUUAAAUACUAAAACGAUUUUAAGUCUUUUGUAUCAUCUUAUUGAAAUAUAUGAAAGCACUCGUGGUUGCAAAAAUACAGUUGGGGCUAUUUCUAAAGUCUUCAACAGCAUUUUCUUUUUAACCUUUAUCCUCAUGGUUGUUUUUGCAGUUGUUCUUUAAGAAAACAUUUAAAAGGUUCUCUUUAUGGAUUUUUGAAAAUAAUUUUAACAUUAGCAAUUUUCAGAAGCACUUUAGAUGUCUGGCAUUUAGAAAAUUUUAUUCCGGUGUCACAUAAAAUACUUAGGAAGUUAAAUUUAUUUAUUUAUGAGCAUGUGCCAGUGCCCUGUGGCAUCCUCUUCACUUGUGAUAGUCAAAUAUAUUAUACGAUACAAUAUUAGCUUGACUGUAGCACAGAGGAGAAUAGGGUUGGUGUUGGUCUGAACCAGCUUAUGUAACAGCUGCCAAAAGGAUAAUUUAAUUGUACUUUGAGUAAAGCUUUUGCGAAUUAAACAAGUGAUAAUUUGUUUCUAUUAAGAAAAACUUAAAGGAUAGGGCUAUUUUAACUCACCAAACUACACAUUAAAAAUCCACUUACAAAAAUAGUUUUUAAUUAUUAAAAUAUUCCUAAAUUAAAUUAUAAUUAUGGACACUAAAAUAUAAUUUUUUUUAUAUUUUACUUUUUGAAACUGUCUUUAUAUUCGAUAUUAUAUUUUUUUUCUUAAACUCUAAAUUGAUAUUUUUUUAUUAAUUUUAAAACACAUAUAAAGUGAUUUAUAUUGAUUUUAUACUAACAAACUAUUAUAGCACAUUCGAAAAAUAAUUAAAUCGUUCUUAUUUACAUAGUGAAAAUGCAAAUAGCUCAUUCAAAUGUUAAGGAAUUGGAGAGCUGCUGCUGGAGAUGAAAGAUGUGAAUUAAACAUCAGAGAAAAAAUUAUGUUCACUAUCUUGCCAGACCAAGCACCGAAGAGCGUCGUAAAGAAAAAUUAGAUAAUUUAGAAGAUAAAGCACGUGGAAUGGAGGCAGAAAGCAAGUAAUGAUAACUCUUUCGACAAACUAAUAUAUACCAAAAUGCAAUAUCGGCCCUAAUAAAAAAUGAAAAUAAAAAUUCAUUACGAAUACUUGUUAAAGAUAUCCCAAGUAUAGAUGUGACUGAAAUAUUUGAGAUUGAAGAAGAAUUAAGACUCAAAAUCAAUUGGGAGGAAUAAAUGAGAAACCCCAAUACCAAAAAAUACACGCACAAAUCCUAAUACUAAUUGUAAUCACGGAUAAAAAGCAUAAUACGAAUAAAUUACAUGGGCAACUAUUCCAUUGAGAAAUUAAUUAAAUCGUGUAUUAAUAUUUUGUAUACAUAUAUUUUUCUAUACAUAACUUUCGGUAAUUUAGUUUUCCACUUAUCAUUUUUACUCCAAAAAAGUAAUUGAGAAUAUUAUUUAUGUUUUGGUACAAAAUAUUUGAACAAUAUACAAAUUUUCAGUUUAAUAAAUCUAAACAUCUAUUAAGUUAUAAAUGAAUUUAAUGGGUUUAAUUAAUAAAAUUACUAUUAUUAUAUAAAUUGGGUUUAGUAAUGGUAUAUUGGGUGGGUUUGUUGAGUAAAUUUUAAAAUUUUGAAAUUUAAGGAUGAAUUUAUUUAGUAAAUGAAUUCAGGGAGUAAUUUGUUGGGAUUCACAUAGCCCCACCAAAUUCAAAUGUAAAAUUUUUGGAAAAAGAAGCUAUUGAGUUAUUCUAAAAAAUAAUUAAAAUGUCAAGAAUACCUUUAUUUAAUUUUAUAAUCUUAUUUUAUAGUCAUAUUUUAUUUCCACCUUAACAUAAUUUUAAAAACCUUAACUAAUAAAUUCUAUAUUUUUUUUUAUAAAAGUUAUCAUUAAUAUCCAAACGGCUACAGAUUUUUUUUUUUUAAAAAAAGGAACUAUGCUUACAAAAGUUGUAUACAUUAACAAUAAAUUUAGUCCAAAGAAUAAAGUUAUUCCAAACAAGCACUCUAAUUCAUCUUGCUAAUGAAUCAAGAUGACUGAAUCCUUCUCUGAGCCAAAUCUAUUUUCACUUUUAGGUCAGAAAUUGUCAUUAAAAAAGUGUUUGAUAAAAUAUGCUCUGGGAACACUAAUUCGUCAGAUGGUUACUCCAAGUUUAUGAAAUCAAUGGGAUUUCAUCAUAUUCAUAACAUUCUUCUUGAAUGUCUAUUCUAACAAAGAAAUCAUAUACAGAGAAUAGGUUUCGUUAAAACUUUUUCUAGAAAAACUAACCACAAUUCAUCAUUCAUUUAUCUCUUAAGUAAGCGUAAGAUUUUAUCAUUAAAAUCCCAUCAUGAAAAAACUCAUGGGAGAAAAACUAUAAAAAUUGAAGAAAAAAGAGUAUGGCGUGCAUGUAAAUUAUAUCGAUUUUAUCUACAUGACAAAUAAGACUCUCUUUUACAAUGGCACGGAUGCUUCAUUGAGUAAUCAUGAUUCUUGCUGGUAGUGCUUUGUUGUAUCAAUCUGCUAGCUAUUCAGCGUUCUUUCUUUCUUUCUUCUUAUUUUUUUGUUUUCAAAUAGCUUGUGGUUGUAGAAAUAUUUCAAUUAAACUAUACUUAAGUACUUAUUUGGUAUAACUUCUUUACUAACCAAAAGAAUUUUUUUUUUUGGUUUUUUAUAAUUUAAUUAUACUUUAACUAGAGUUUUUGGGAUAAAACAAGUGAUAAUUUCUCUCUAUUAAGAAAAACUCAAAGGGUAGGGCUAUCUCAAUCCACCAAACUAUUUAUUAAAAAUCCACUUAUGAAAAUAAUUUUUAAUUAUUAGAAUGCGUUUACAUUAAAUUAUAAUUAUGGACACUAAAAUAUAAUAAAUUUUUUUUUUACUCUUUAAAAUUGUCUUUACAUUUGAUAUCAUAUCUUUUUCUUAAAAUCUAAAUUGAUAUUUUUAUUUUAUUUUUGAUUAAUCUUAGAACACAUAUAAAGUGAUUCAUAUUGAUUUUAUACUAACAAACUAUCACAGCACAUUCGAAAAUAAUUAACUCGUUCUUAUUUGCAUAGUGAAAAAGGCAAAUAGCUCACCCAAAUGUUAAGGAUAUGAAAAGCAUGGUCAAGAAAAAUUGCAUAAUUCUCACUUAGAAGAGAGGUAGCCGCCACCACCACCAGUGAAACUAUUUCACAUAAUAGAAGAUAAAGCACGCGUAAUGGAGGCAAAAAGCAAGUAAUGAUAACUCUUUUCGACGCACUAAUACAUAUCAAAAUGCAAUAUCGGUCCUAACAAAAUGAAAAUAAAAAUUCAUUACGAAUAUGUGUUAAAGAUAUCUCAAGUAUUGAUGUGAUUGAAAUAUUUGAGAUUGAAGUAGAAAUAAGACUCAAAAUUAAUUGAGAGGAAUAAAUGAGAAACUCUAAUACUAAUAAAAUAUAUUCACAAAUCCUAAUGCUAAUUAAAAUCACGGAUUAAAAAAAAUAAUAUGAAUGAAUUACAGGCGCAACUGUUUCAUUAAGAAAUUAAUUAAAUCGUGUAUUAAUAUUUUGUACACAUACAUUUUUCCAUAUAUAACUUUUGGUAAUUUAGUUUUCCACUUAACUUUUGGUGAAAAAAAUAAUUGAGAAUAUUAUUUAUGUUUUGAUGCAAAAUAUUUAAACAACAUAAAAAUUUUCAGUUUAAUAAAUCUAAACAAUUCUCAAGUUAUAAAUGAAUUUAAUGGGUUUAAUUAGAAAAAAUACUAUUAUUUUAUAAAUUGGGUUUAGUAAUGGUAUAUUGGGUAUUUAAAUGGGUUUGUUGAGUAAAUUUUAAAAUUUUAAAGUUCAAGGGUGGGUUUAUUUAGUAAAUGGGUUAAGGCAGCAAUUUUCCAAACUAAAUUUUUGGAAAAAGAGGUUAUUGAGUUUUUUUUUUUAAGAAAAAGAAUUAAAAUGUUGAGAAUACCUUUAUUUAAUUUUAUAAUCUUAUUUUAAAAAAUUUACCCAAUAAAUUUGAUAAUUUUUUAUAAAAAUUAUCAUUAACAUCCAAACAGCUGAAGAUUAAAAAAAAAAAAAAAGAAGGGAACUGUACUAGCAAAAGUUACAUUAACAAUAAAUUUAGUCCAAAGAAUAAAGUUAUAGCUAAAAAGUGCUCCUAUCCUAUUUUUCUCUAUUUUAACAAUAAUCUUCCAAUCCGUUUUACAAUGGACUUUAACAAAUGGGCUCAAUUAACAAGAUUGAUCAAGAAUUAACAAGACAAGAUGAAGAGAUGAUCUUGUAACUAAGAAUGAAGAAAUUACGCACAAAGCAGUAAAUUUGUAAAACCAGAAUUGGAGCUUCACUUCUCAAGAGAGACGAAACAGGAUACAAUCUAGCUUUGGUCAACUUCGUUUGGCCACGUCAUAAAGUCUCCCCACAGUCUUUCCCGCCAAAACAGAAAAGCUUUAAAAGCCAUUUACCUUCCUGAGUUACUUGCUCCUAUUACAUCAAGGCCCUGGAAGUCUAUAUUUAUUAUUACAAAAGCACUCUUAGGGUGCGUUUGGAAUUGAGGUGUUGUAGUUUUUAAGCUACAGCUGUUGUGAAAAAAAACUGUAAUUAUGAAAUAAAAGUUAAUAAUAUAUAGUAAAUAUAAAUUUUAAAUAAUAAUUUUAUCAAAAUUAUUAAAGAUAUAAUAAAUUUUAUAUUAUACAAGUGAAAAAUUAUAUCAACAUAGCUUAAAAGCUACAGCAGUUAAUGUUUACCAAACACUUUAGUGCUGUAGCUUUUAAGCUUCAGCUGCCCAAUCUCAAUCGCAAACGCACCCUUAAACCGAGAUCGAAGCGCAUGAUUUCAUUACAAAGCAUUCGCAAAGAAAUUGUUUUUAAAUGAAACUCCUCGUCUUGACCAGAUUAUUUAUUAUUAUUCAAAAACAAAUGCUCAAAGCUUAGCCAAAGUGAUAAACUCGUAAUUAUUCUACAAAGGGAACAAUUUUGAACGGUGGGAAAUUCCAUAAUUAUGCUUUUCUGUGAAUUAUUUUAAAUAAAAUUAUAAAAACCAAUAUAAAAUUAUUACCCAGUAAAGACUUUAGAGAGACAAAUGUCCCCAACAGGAUCAAGUGAAUAUGCCCCACAAAGAUCACAUGAUCAUUUCUUGUUCUUUUUCUUUUGGACAAUUUUAGACAAUAUAAAAGAAAAAAUAUUAAAUUUUUUUAACCGAAUUAUUUUGACUCAAUUUGGUUCAUAAUUUUUUAAACCAAAUGGAACCCUCAUAACAAAAAACUAACGGAAACAAUAAGAACACGAUGUUAAAAUCUUAAAUCAAUCGCAAAAAAGCACCCAAAACAGAUCGAUUAGGAACAGUUAACAACAAAAGAUUUGAUGGUUCAAAAUCAUAAUGUGACCUACUUCCAUCCAAGAAUUAUACUAAUUUCUUUACUAGUUGUCAAAUACAAGAUCACAAGAUUAUUUAUCACUCUAUAGAGAAAAACUUUUUAGAAGAAAUACUCCCCAAUUUUUCUCUUGAUAGUUAUGAAUCAACACCCCUAGAAAGGCUAUUGAUUUAUUUUUCCUUAUUUCAUAUGAUCGGUUGCUGCAACUUAAUCCUUGCCAAGUUCCAACAUAGUCCAAACAUUUUUCAUGGUACAUGCAUAGUGCACCUUCAGAAACUUUACAGCUCUUCUUAAAACCUCAGUUCUCGUGAUGUUUCUGAUUUAUUUUUGGGACGAGUAACACUUUUGUUGAACCUAGACCAGAUUUAGUAUCCAAUCAAGAAUUUCCAGGAUCUAGCUGAACUCUCUAAUCAAGACCUAAAGAAUAGUUAAUCAAAUCCACACAAAAGAAUCACCCAAAAACAGUAUACAAAGAACAACAAAUAUAAGUGGUUUUGAGAUAAAUGUAAUUGACUUCUGAGCAUGACUUAAUUUUGAGAUCAUUACUUUUAGUUAAAUGAUCUCCUCCAGAGCUUCUACCUAUGUAGUGUUUUUAGACCUCUAUAGUUGAUAAAGCACGUUCAAGGUGAAGGCUUGUUUUCCAAUCUAUAGUCCAAUUAUAGACUGGAAAUGGUCAGGCUUAAUGCACCUUCAAAAGCUUCACAAUUUGUAUUGAAACCUUAAGCCUCAGAAUGCUACAAAUUUUAAAUCCAUAUACUUAGUGCUCUUAUGAUUUGUUUGAUUUUUACUUAGAUGAAGAGCAUUUUAGCUAUAGAAUACAUUGUAACUAAUUCAAAGCAUGCCUUAGCUACGAGAUCAUUCAUUCUAGCCAAAUGCCCCCUUUAGAGAUUCUGCUAUUGUUGUGUAUUCAGCCUCUAUAUUUGGCAAAGCAAUUACAUGUCGAAGGCUUGCUUUCCAGUUAACAGCGCAAUUACAUAGAUUAAAGGUGUAACCAGGCAAAGAACUUAGUUAUUCUGCCAAGGUCUCCAACAUACUCCAAAUCCAUAUAACCACCAGACUUCAAUCUUUAGACUCCAUAGAUCAAACCAUAACUUAGUGUGCCUUUCAAUCUCAGGUAACAUUUUACUGUUUUCCACGUCUUGCCAUGUACUUGCUGCUAACACUAACAAUUUGAGAAAUGUUAGGCAUCGUAAGCAGCCGACAACACUCUUCUUCAUUUCUUCAUUGUCAAUUUCUUUCUUGGAACAUUGCUCCAUUGAGAGUCUGCUAUCAUUGCUCCAAUUAUUAUUAUUUUUGUUUUUUUUUAAAAAAAAAAUAACCGUGCAAUAAGAGUAUAAGACUAAGCAACGGUCCUUUUUUUUUUACCCAUUCUUGAACAUGAAGUAUUUGAGUAUGUAAUAAAAAUUGUUUAUUGAUAAUUAAAAGUUAAUAGUGGGUGGCUUUAGGUUUUGUUUACAAAAUUGACAACAAAUUAAGAUUUUUCAAAUUCAUAGGUAAGAAACUUUUCAUUUAUUCAUAGAUUUUCCGGUUUAAACUUUAAAGGAAACUUAAAAGAAAAAGAUGUAUCAUUAGAUUUGUAAUUAAAAAAAUUUAAUAUUGUAUGAUCUGUUCGAUAUGCAUAAUUUAAAUAAACAUUAAUAUAGAUGUUAUAUAUCCUAAAACUUAAUUGACUUAAUUCUUACGGUGCAAGGAAGACGUUUCCAAGUUUAAAUCUAAUUUGGGGUCGGGAAAGCACUGGGAAAUAAAUGUAACAAAGGAAAAAAGAAAAGAAUGACAGUCUGAGUGGAGCCAACACGGUUUUGAAAAAAGUGCAAAAAAGGGUUUUAGGAUAUACUCUAUUAUCGUUUGUUUGCUUGCUUGUGGAAAUAAAAGUCUCAUGUUUCUUUGAAAGGUAAGCAAGUGUGAAUGUUUCUAUCUAGAGCUGGAAAAUGCAUUUCCGUGCAACUUACUUGAUGAAUGAAGUUUUCACCUCUGACCUUGAUGUUUCCCUGAGCUGCAUUCAUUGCAGCUGAUGUAUUUCAUUUUGUUUUCGAAGGAGUGACACAAAAUCUCCUUUGUUAAGGUGAGAAUUUAGAGUGGCUUUAACUGUUAACAAAUAGCCUAAUGUAAGACUUAAUCAACUUCCUGCCCUGUUGUAUGCUUAUGAAUUUUGAUAGAGUUAUGAGUUUGCAGAAGCUACUGUAUUAUAUGUUGCUAGAGGCUGUAAAAAUGAGGCAGAUCAAACACACAUUUAAAUUUCAGUGACAAUUUACUGGAAGUAAAUUCCUAUGACCCUACAUGUGACUGUGUGGCACCAUCCGCCAUUUGGAAGUGAAUAUCAUUAUUCUUUAAUCAACAUGGUGGAGUCCACGGGGACCACACCACAUGGUCAGUCUUAUCUCUAUUCCUCAAUUUUCAGUAUUCCAUACAUCAAAACAAUUUCAGUUUUGUUAUCAAUUAUAAUUUCAUUGUUGGUGACGAUUCUGAUUCCUUUCUUUCUGACAAAACGGAACCAUGGUUGCUGUGGGAGAGAUCUUACUCAACGCCUUCUUUCAGGUGUUGUUUGACAGGUUGGCUUCCCGUGAUUUGUUCAGCUUUGUCCGUCAACUUGGAGUGGGGGUCGAUUCCGAGCUCAAGAAGUGGGAUAGAAAGCUGAAGAUGAUUCAGGCGGUGCUCAACGAUGCAGAGGAGAAGCAACUGACUGACGAGACUGUGAAGAUGUGGCUGGACGAUCUCCAAGACUUGGCUUAUGACGCUGAGGACAUUCUUGAUGAGUUUGCUACUCAAGCUUUGGAAAGCAAGUUGAUGGCGCAAAAUCAGGAUAGCUCUGGCCAGCUUCUCAGUUUCAUCCCGGCUAGUUUGAAUCCGAAUGCUGCUAGGUUCAAUUAUGGCAUGAGGUCCAAGAUUAACGAUAUUACUAGCCGGUUGGAGCAACUCUGCAAAGAUAGAAUUGAACUUGGGCUGCAACGGAUUCCUGAAGGGGCAUCAUCAACUGCUGCUGCUGCACACCAGAGGCCACCCAGUUCAAGCGUCCCACCAGAACGUGAAGUUUUUGGUAGAGAAGAAGAUAAGGCCAAAAUUCUUGAUAUGGUAUUGGCCGAUAGCCCAAGUGAUCAUGCCAACUUUGUUGUAAUACCCAUUGUUGGCAUGGGCGGGAUAGGAAAAACAACUCUCGCUCGGGAGGUUUACAAUGACAAGGCCGUUGGAGAUUCCAAGUUUGAUGUAAAAGCAUGGGUUUGUGUAUCUGAUGUCUUUGACGUUUUGGGCAUCUCAAAGGCGCUUCUCGAGUCAAUCACCCGCAGGCCAUGUCUUCUAAACAGUUUAAACGAAGUGCAGGUUGAAUUGAAAGUAGCUGUGGAUAAAAAAAGAUUCUUGCUGGUCUUAGAUGAUGUUUGGAACGAGGACUACAGCUUGUGGGUAGACUUAAAAGCUCCGUUCCUGGGUGCUGCACCAAACAGCAAGAUGAUCGUCACCACACGCAAUUCAAGUGUUGCAUCAACAAUGAGACCCAUUGAUCGUCACCACACGCAAUUCAAGUAUUACGAUCUCAAGAGUCUGUUAGAUGAUGAUUGCUGGUCCAUUUUCAUAAACCAUGCAUUUGAAUCUACAGACCUUAGCGCACAUCGAAUUUCAGAAUCAUUCCGCGAGAAAGUUGUUGGCAAGUGUGGGGGCUUGCCUCUGGCAGCAAAAACACUCGGGGGCCUUCUUCGUACUAAAACGCAUGCUGAGUGGGACGGUAUAUUGGAUAGCAAAAUAUGGGAUUUACCUCGGCAAAGCAGCAUUCUCCCCGUGUUAAGAUUGAGUUACCAUCAUCUUCCUUCUCAUUUGAAAAGAUGUUUUGCUUUUUGUGCCAUCUUUCCAAAAGAUUAUGCAUUCACUGAGAGGGAGCUGACUUUCUUAUGGAUGGCUGGAGGUAUUAUUCGACAGUCAAGAAACAAUGAGCAGCUGGAAGAUUUGGGCAGCAAGUGCUUUGGUGAUCUAGUGUCGAGGUCAAUUUUUCAACAAACAGCAAUCUCUGAUAGUUCUAAAUUUGUAAUGCAUACUUGAAAUUUCUGUCUUCAAUAUUUUGAUGCUUUCUUAUCCCAUGCACAAAAGUACUAGAAAAAACUAAUAACAGCUAACCGAAAAUCCCAGGCGUCAUAUUCCUUUUUACCGCGUUUUAAAAUGCACAACAAUGAUAUUCUUACAAAUUUGCAAAAUUUGUCAAUUUCUUAGAUUUCAGAUAUUUUAAUGCUUUUUUUAAUUUUUGAUCUAGUAAAAAUACACAGCCUUCACCGGCAGGAUUCUAGUCUUGGCUUUCACCUCUCUAACUCAUCUGUUCCCAUUGGGAUUCCAGAAAUUGAAAUUUCUGUCUUCAAUGGGUUUUCAAAGCCUCGCCUCUCUUCGAUUUUUGUGGAUCGGGAAUUGCACAAAUCUCACAUCAUUUCCCGAGGUCGAGGAAAAGAGCGGCCCAAACUUGCUCGCAUCCCUUAUUAGGUUAUGAUAGAUGGAAAAUUCAUAUACGAUCCAGAGUCAGAGGUGUUGAUUCUCUUAUUAAGGUCAGCUGAUUUCUAUUAUCCACUCUGACAAUCUCCUAUUCGUGUUUUUCCUUUUUAAAUUUUUUUUCCAAAAUUUUGCAGUUCCGUAUAUUGGUGUUUGUUAAGGUAAUUAGUGCUCCCUCAAUAUUGCAUUUUAGACUGCCAAAUGUAGCAGUAAUUUUAAUACAAUUUUGUUGGUGCCUUGUGUUCCAGAAGCUAGAAAAAUGUGUAGUUUUCAGAUAAGGAGGCUUGUCAGUUCUCUAGUAAGAAUCCAAUGAUUUGCUUUUGCACGUCCAUCUAAUUUGUGGAUCCUUGCAUCAGAAUUUGAUCAAUCCAAAAGGAAUUGCUUUUAGACAGAAGAAGAAUAGCAGCACCUAGCCUACCCGCAAACCUGAAACUAUUAGAUUGAGGUAAAAAAAUCAUUGACCCUCACAUGUUAACUUCUUCUAGUUACUUUCAUUGGGGAAAAAAAAACAUUUAAGGAAUUUGCAAUUUGUUGUUAGUUAUGGUAUCUGAUGUUCUUUUCUGCUUUAGCGUUUGUAGAACCUACUGUAUUAUGUGUUGGCAGUUGCCGUAUCUGAGGUAACUUGCCUUUAUUUGUUUGCUUCUGAGUUAAGGACACCAACAUUUGCCAGAGAUUUAGAGAAUCAUCUCAAAACACUUAGCAAACUUGACAAACUUCAAGAUGCACUUGCCCCCACGCCUUAUUCUCAACAACGCAAAACUUGUGAGUACACCUAUGCCUGCAAUUAUUGUGAAGUGUUCGCAAUUCUGAUGCAGAGAAAUGGUUUCUUGAUGCAAAGUAUUAAACUGUUAAGAUUUAUCCUGCAGGCUUGUUAGAUGUUGUAUACUCGAAAAGCCAACAACAUCAAGAACUACAACUCCAAGACCAACUUUGCGUUAAUUCAGUCAGCUGUAAAAAUGAUGCAAAUGACACUAUAUCAAGCUGGACUUAGAGACUAGUCAGAUCAAUCAUCCAUUUCAUCAACGGUUAAUGUCAUGAUGGUGGCUAUCAGAGGAAACAAAAGAUGUGUCAGAAUCUAUACGAACAUUGAGAAGCAUGAGAGGAGCUUUGAUUUUGAGUAGGGUCAAUGAACUCAUGUUGGUAAGUGGUGAUUAAAGAAAUUUGUAAGCUUAGUAGAGUUUCAGUAUUUUCUGUUUGGAGUAUAGUUGAUAAGUUGACUCUGUUUAAGAAGCCCGAUUAUAGUAGCUGACUGUAUUAACCUUUUUUUUUUUGGUCUGCUGUUGUUUUUGGUUUCGAUUAUUUUUUCAACAUUGGGUUGAUCUGUUGAAGAACAAGCUUGGGUUUGAUUAUGUUUUAACUAUAAGGAAGAGCCAGACUUGGUUGCAGGCGUUAAGCUUUUAAUGGGUAAGAACAAAUGAAUGCUUUAACCAUGUUUCUCACUUAUUAAAAUGCAUGGAUUGAAGGCAUCUGGGUUGAUCCUGACAAUGUGAUGGAAAUACUUCUCUGUUUUCAUGUAACAGGACAAAUAGAGAUCUCUGAUCAUGCCUGAAUUUUUGUUGCAUUGAAAUUUCUACCAUUACCAAACAUAGAAUGAACUGGGGAUACAUUAGCUUAAGACUCAAUUUUGAGAAGGAAGUUUGUACUUGCAGCCUAUAAAAUCAUGUCCGUGUCGUACGUUUCUUUGGGAAAUGAAAGAUUCUGUGUGUUCUUUUAUUUCAAGUUCACUGAAAUCACAUUUGUUUUCUCAGCUGCUUUCCAGAAGGUAACAACAUCAAUUUCAAAAAUGCUGGGGCAAGAUGUAUCAUGCAGUGCGACUCAACUUGAGAAUUCCUGGCCACAUUACCCGUAUGUCUAAUGAUCGCACAGUACAACCUUGAGAAGCUUGUAAUGAGUACACAACUGGGUGCAAGUAGUUUUGAAAUGAAUUUGCCUCAAAUGAUUUCUUGCCGGUGAUUAAUAUAACCUCUAUUCCAAAAUUCUUAGAACUGGUCAUACUAGCAAUGAAGGAUUGCAUACAUUGAAGACAUAGCUGAAGGCCUUGCGAGAGCUCUGUCAGCCCUUGUACCGGAAAACAGCUGGUCGUAGUCGCUUGUGAAUGAUAUGAUUAAUAGAUACUGCAAAAAUGAAUUGUGCCAUACGUUUUCAGCGCUCUGUGAAGAUGUCUUGGUCAUUUGUUUGAUGCUUGUUUGAUUUAUGUUGUAUUCAGCCAUAAAUCAGAGAUUCAGAACUUGGGUAUGUUUCUGGUUUCCAAAUCAAAAAAUUGCCUUGUGAUGUUAGUGUUCACUGUUUUCACAGGAGAUCAGGUUCCUUGUUAAUGAAUCAAGAAGAAGGCAAGCGCAUCCAUGUCCAAGUUCAAAUGUGUCUCCUCUAUUUUCUAUUACCCACUCAUUUAUUUUGAUUUCUUCAUUGUAAUUGAAUUAGUUUUUUAUUCCAAAUUAGUCAAAACCUCGUAGAGUCAUUAAGUUCUUUUAGCAUUUAAAGACAGAACUACGAACCAAAUGAUUUAAGUUCUUCGUUGUAAUUGAAUUUGCUUUCCCAUCUUUAGAGAUAUUAUGUUCUUUUUCACUUUUUCGAUUUGGUUAGUGGUGAUUUCUUAAAGACUCAAUCCAUUUGCGUUAAUACAUUUUUCUUUUGCCUUGAUUUCUGUUUCUUGGGGAGUUUAUACAUAUUAUUAUUUUAUGCUACACAUGCCAUAUACAGAUUCUUAUUUUAUGCUUCACAUGCCACAUAAAAGGUCAAAGCCUUGUGUGUGAUUAGAAUUUACUGGCAUCAUAGUAACUUUAAACCAUUGUGACGUUUUAGUAAUAACAGUUUGAGCUCUCCCUGAAGGAUUCAAAGCAUUUUAUUUUAUAUUAUACUCCUUUAUAUGGUUUGGCUGGUCUCUUUUAAGGCAAUUCCUGUUUAAAGUAAUCAAAAUUUUGAUUUCGAAGUGUCUUUCAACACUACCGCUAGUUCUUUAAGAAAAGUAAAUCGAUUUUGAGUCUUCUGUAUCAUCUGAUUGAAAUACAUGAAAGCACUCUUAGCUGCAAAAGUACACUUGGAGUUAUAAUAGCAUUCUGAAAUCUCCUUGAAGGAUUCAAAAGCUCUUUAUUUGCUAGUCUUUGCUUGCAAUAAACUCCUUUAAUAUAGAUUGGUUGAUCUUCUUUAAAGCAAUUACCAUAAGUUCUUUAAAUAAUAAAACGACUUUGAGUCUUAUGUAUCAUCUUGUUGAAAUACAUGAAAGCACUCUUGGCUGUAAAAAUGCACUUGGGGUUAUAUAUAAAGUCUUCAACAGAAUUUUAUUUCCCCCUUUAUCCUCAUGGUGGUCUUUUUAGUUGUUUUUUAAGAAAUCGCUUGAAGGUUCUCUUUAAAAAUAAUUUUAACAUAAGCAUUCUUUAGAAGCACUUUAGAUGUCUGGCAUUUAGAAAAUUUUGUUCCUGUGUUCACAUAAUAUAAUAUAUAUAUAGAAAGCUGACUGUAGAAUAGAGGAGAACGAGUUGGUGUUGGUCUGAACUCUGAUCUUUGAAUCUCAUGUGACUCCACUACUUUUUACUUGUUCUGUACAAGGUCUUUUAGCUUUUCAAAAAGUUUUAGCUUUAUGGAUAAAAUACUGUUAAUUGUAAUCUAUAAAUAAUGAAAGGAAUUAAUAAAAUAUUUGGUAAAUUUUAUUUUCUAAAGUGUUAUGAGUUCUAAAACGGCUGUAUGUAUAUAAAUUUAUUUACACAUAUAUUUAUAAAUAUGAUUAUAUAAUAAUAUUUUAUGUGUACAUAUCAUAAUUGAUAACUAAAAUAAAUAUUUUUAUUUUAUUAAUGGUUUUUCCGUCUCAAUGUAGUUGGUAAUAAUAAUCUCUUUAGAUGUAAUGAUUUUAUUUCCUAACUGAAUAAGGAAAAUUUUAGAUUUUUAUAAUAAAUGUUAAAUAUAUCUAGAAUUACAUUAAGUAUGAAAUAAUCCUCAAAAUUAGAUUUUGAAAAGUUAUUCUUUUAUUACUUUUAAAAAUAUGUCAUAUGAUGAGAUGAUUUUAUUAAAAGUGAUUUUUUUUUAAAAAAAUUACUAAACAUCAAAAUUAACUCUUAACUUUUUAAAAUCAUUUCUAAUCUUCUCAUCCUAAGUUCUUUAUUGUUUUGUACAAAAUCCAAGGUUUUUACUUUUAUAAAAUGCCCACUCAAAAAUAAAUUAUUUUCUAAUUAAGAUUUGUUGUUAAUGUAUACCUCGAAGUAAUAUUAGAUAUUUGUAAUUUUAUUUCAAAAAUUUUAUUCAAAUGAUAUGGCAAGCAAUGAACAAUAGUUGAUAGCAAUUUUUUUUUUUUAAACAAUGUUCAAAUCAAUCAGUUGCAUUAUCUCACCAUUUUUAUGAUGUCAUGUUAUUUUAAAUGAUUUUUUUAAUUUUUAUAUAAAACAUACGACGUGUUAACAUCAUUUGCAUAACUUGACCUUUUUUUUUUCCUACAAAUAGUAAGUCAAAUUUACUCACCCUAUUUCUACCUAAAACUCAUGCAUCACUGUAAAACAAAUCCAAAGAUUGCGAUACGUUUUUCUUGGCAAGAAAUCAAUAAUUAGGUCAAGUACUACUACUAAGCGUGCACAAUUAAUUCUAAAAUACGGUGAUCAAAAUCAUACUUGACGCAAGAGGAUAAGGGCUGAACUUCAAUUAGGCAUUAUUCAUCCAAAAUUCAUUGACUCGGCAUUCUUUGCAAGUUGUAGCAUGGGACAGCUAAGAUAAUUAGCAAAUGAUAUGGACCAUAUGCACCCAUACAUUUCCUUUAAUGCCAACUCUUCAUUGAAUGAUUAUCAGAUCCAAUACGCAUCCUUUGAUUGGAUUAUUUUAAGUCAAUUAUUGGUGGAUUGGGGCCCACUUGACUCUACCAAAUCGGGCUCCACCAUAUCACCUAUUAACGACCACCUGUCCUUAUCAUAAAUAGCAAAUGUCACUUGUUUUAUUUUGUAUUUUACCAAAAGCAAAGUCACUAUGAACCCAAAUGAAAGUGACCUCAAUUUUGGGGGUCAUGAACUUUGGAUUAUUAUGGACACAAGAGACAAGCGCAAUGUUUCUCAUUUAUCACUGGAUAAGAUUUAAGUUAUCAACCCAAUAUUAAUAAAUUCUGCUUGAAAAGUAAAGUUUGAAGCUUCAUUUUGCGAAUAUUCAAUGGUUAACAUUUAAGUAAUUAACCUGAUAUUAAUCUAAUUAAACUUUUUAUGUUAUCCAAGUCAAACAUAUAUUGAUAAACCUAAAUUAAUCUAAUUGGACAUAUUAUUUCAACUUGAAAAGGUGAAUCUAUCAUUUUUCAAUUAAUUUUGAAUCAAGCUAUGUAAAAUAUAAGCUUAUUAAAGACAUAUUUGAAAAAUUCAAAUUGAAUUAUUUGACAAUUACAUUUCAACUAAGUUGUACUGCUAAUUAACUUCCUCAACUUAAAAUGUAUUGUUCUCAAUUAAUUCGUAACAAAGAAUGUUAGAUGUUUUGUUCGAAUAAUAACAUUCAACAUCCUUAUUCUUUAUGAUUAUUGCAUAAAAAACAUAUUUUAUCCAUUUACGUCACUAUCGAAAACUUUGAACAGUCAAUACAAAUGCUUCCGUUUCAUCCCAUAAACAAAUAAAAUUCACAUCUGUACACAUCUACUUUGCUUUGCUAGAUAGAGUUCCUCUGCAUUUCCCAAUUGCCUAAAGAGAAGGGGAAAAGAAAAAGAGGGCCAAAAAAUGCCUGAAAUGGUAAGGAACAAGCAAGUGAUAUUGAAGAACUAUGUGUCUGGUUUCCCAAAAGAAACAGACAUGCACAUGACCGAAAGUUCCAUAGAAUUGAAGGUGCCAAAAGGUUCAAAUGGGGUUCUUUUAAAGAACUUGUACUUGUCCUGUGAUCCGUACAUGCGACCAAGAAUGACCUACAUCGAAGGAUCUUACGUUGAAUCCUUUAAACCUGGCUUGGUUAGUGCACUCGCUCAUGGCCACGCUUUUCAUUUCCAUGGCUUCUUGCUCUUUUGUUAUAGAAAAUUUAUUUUUGGUUGCAGUUUGGUUCGACUGCUAAAAUCUCGUGCGAUAAUUGUAUAAGAUAUCUAGAGUUUGAACUUCUUUCACAUUAGGGUUCAAGGAAGUUAACUUAAAUGAUUUUCAAAAUUUUAAAUGUGUACCAAUGAAUUUAAUUUCAUAGCUUAAACUUAUAUUUUGAUCAUACUCUAACUUUGGACAGGAAAAAUUAUAUUUUUCCUUUAGUUCUUUGACUUGGAGUAUGUUGUGUGAAGUACUUGUGCUUGAAAAUGAAUUGCUGACACAGAAAUUUCUAUGAAUGCAUGCAGCCCAUAAGUGGAUAUGGGGUGGGUAAAGUUUUGGAUUCAGAGAAUCCAGAGUUCAACAAAGGUGACUUGGUUUGGGGAAUGACUGGAUGGGAAGAGUAUAGUCUCAUUACGGCUCCACACUUGUUUAAAAUUCAACACACAGAUGUGCCUCUUUCUUACUAUACUGGAAUCCUCGGUAAACUUUUUGUUUGCGCAAUUUAUGUGAGCAAAUUGUGUCUUCUUUUUCAUAUGUAAAUGUUUUUGAUAUCUUGAUGUGAAGGUAGAAAAUUGCAUGUUUUGAGUUUUUGCAUAUUUGAUGGAAACACAGAACUGUACCUGAAUCUUUCAGAACCCCCUUUUCUUUGAAGUUUGAACACUUUUCUUGAAUGUAUCAACUUUAUUUAUGGGAUAUGUUGCCAAAUUGGCAAAUCUAUUCGUUAUAAAACUUUCCUUUGACAGUUUAAUCUAAGCAGAUGUUAAUUCUGCAAAUAGAGUGUGCCUUAGAUUAGUUUCAUAGAUUUGUCUCCUUCUGUACAGUAAAAACUUUGAGCAUUUUCGCCAUAUUCUGAUCAAUACACUCCAACUAGUUAGUUCUUGAGGCGUUUUAUGGUUUUGUGGAGUGAGGCAAGAUGUAUACGUUUGCAAAUUGGCAAUGUCUUUUGCUUGAUGGGUUGAGAGUUGUGAGUGUCAAUAGGAAAGUCUCAAAGUGCGCAGUGCUCACUUGAGCACCCAUAUUACUUGGUGACCUGUUGCCUCAGCAAACAGGACCUCUGUUUUAUGAACUCCAAAAAGUUAUUCUGUUAAAUAGAUCGAGACAGAGGCCAUACUAUAUUUAUUAUUGCUACAAAAGUGUGAAACAAUAUUCUUUAUUUAAUAUUCUAAACAAUUGAGCCAUUUAGUUAUGAUACUCUGCUGUAUUGGGGCUAAUAAUCUAAGUCGGUUCAAAGUGGUAAAUUUAUAAAUUGAUAGGUAUGCCUGGUAUGACCGCUUACGUUGGAUUUUAUGAGGUCUGCUCUCCUAAGCAAGGAGAGUGUGUCUUCAUAUCCGCCGCAUCUGGUGCAGUUGGACAGCUUGUGGGCAAAGUUAUUGGGUUGCUAUGUCGUCGGAAGUGCUGGAAGCAAAGGCAAGGUAUGUAAUCUGUGUGAAGUACUUGCUUGUUUCCAUGUUACUUUCAAACAUUUAAAUUAAAAAGGAAAUUUUCAUAAUCUUGCCUUUUCUAUGAUUUUCAAAACCAAGGUUGAUCUACUGAAGAACAAGUUUGGGUUCGACGAGGCAUUUAACUAUAAAGAAGAAGCUGAUUUGAAUGCUGAUUGUUGGGAAUUUGAUUAUUCUAGGUAUGCCUGGUGUAACUGCAUACGCUGGUUUAUACGAAGUUUGCUGUCCGAAGAAAGGAGAGUAUGUCUAUGUAUCUGCAGCAUCUGGAGCUGUUGGUCAGCUUGUUGGACAGUUUGCAAAAUUAGCUGGUUGCUGUGUUGUUGAAAGUACUGGAAGCAAAGAAAAGGUGCUGUUAUAACAUUCUUAAGUAGUAAAUAUAGCACCGUGCCUUCUACCAGAAUUUUACAUGCUUUAUGUUCCAACUAAGCAUCCAUAUAUGAUCGUGAUAAUUAGCAAGGUCAAUAAUUUUUUUUUGACUAUUUUUUCAAUGUAAGGUCGAUUUGUUGAAGAACAAGUUUGGACGAUGCUUUUAACUACAAGGAAGAGCCAGACUUGGAUGCAGCACUCAAAAGGUCAGCUCCAACAAACGUUUCAACUCUAAUAUUUCAUUUUAAUAUUACAGAGCUUUGGUUGAAGUGUGUGAUUUGAUCCCAGAAAUGUAACUUCAUCAGUGUCUCUGUUUUCAAAAAACAGGACAAAUAGAAAUCUGAUUUUGCUUUAAAAUUUCCCAGAUGCUUCCCUCAAGGAAUCGACAUAUAUUUCGAAAAUGUUGGGGGAAAGAUGCUGGACGCAGUGCUACUCAACAUGAGGCUCCGGGGCCGCAUUGCGGUAAGCAGUAUCAUCUCACAGUACAACCUGGAAAAACCCGAAGGCGUACACAACUUAGAGCAACUGAUCGGGAAACGGAUUCGCCUGGAAGGAUUUAUAGCUGGGGAUUACUAUCACCUCUACCUGAAAUUCUUGGAAUUGGUCAUUCCUGCAAUCAGAGAAGGAAAGAUGGUGUAUGUGGAAGACAUAGCCAAAGGACUCGAGAAAAUUUCUCGUAACUGCUACACAUUAAACGCAUUUCACAUUUCCACUCUCUCUCUAUAAAUAAAUACGCACAUAAAAUUUGUCACCAUCCAAAAACAAAAUCUACAUAAAAAAUGGCGGGUGAAGAAGCAGUGAGCAACAAGCAGGUGAUUCUGAGCAACUACGUGACAGGGUUUCCCAAAGAAUCAGACAUGAAGAUAAUAACAGGCUCAAUAAACCUCAGGUGCCAGAGGGUUCAAAAGACGCAGUGCUUUUGAAGAAUCUUUGUCUUUCCUGUGAUCCUCACAUGAGAGGACAUAUGAGCGAGCUUGAUAAGCCUUGGUUUGUUGCCUCGUUAAAGUCUCGAAAAUCCUGAAGGUAUCGACAUCUAUUUCGAAAAUGUUGGGGGUAAGAUGCUUGAUGCAGUGCUACUCAACAUGAGAAUUUGUGGCCACAUCGCUGUAUGCGGAAUGAUCUCACAGUACAACCUUGAGAAGCCUGAAGGUGUACACAACUUGAUGCAAGUAGUUGGAAAACGAAUUCGCAUGGAAGGAUUUCUUGCCGGUGAUUUCUACCACCAAUAUCCAAAAUUCUUGGAACUGGUUAUGCCGGCAAUCAAAGAAGGAAAGUUAGUAUAUGUCGAGGACAUAGCUGAAGGCCUUGAGAAAGCUCCAUCAGCUCUAGUUGGGGUAUUCACUGGGCAGAAUGUUGGAAAACAACUGGUUGUAGUUGCUCGGGAAUGAUAUGAUUACUAUAUGACCAUACACUUUAAAAGCUUAGUGAAGAUGCCUGUGUCUUAUUUGUGAUACAUGUUAUGUUUGUUUGAUCAAGUUGUACUCAGCUAUAAAUCAAAGAUUCAGAACAUGUGUAUGACACUGGUUUCUAAAUCAAUGAACGCUUUCAAAUGUUAGUAUUUUCACAGGAGAAUGCAAUUUAAUUUAUCAACGAUGUCCCAACAAGACCCUCAGAACUGUAGCUUGUAAAGUUAAUUACCAUAUUUUUUUCUUUCCAAUAUAUUUGCUUAUUUCAUAGAAAGUUUACAUUAAAGUCUCAUGUUUCUUUGAAAGGUAAGCAAGUGUGAACGUUUCAAUCUAGAGCUGGAAAAUGCAUUUCCGGGAACUUACUUGAUAAAUGAAGUUUUCAUCUCUGACCUUGAUGUUUCCCACAGGUGCAUUCAUUUCAGCUGAUCUAUAUAAUUUUGUUUUCGAAGGAGAGACACAAAAUCUCCGUUGUUAAGGGGAGAAUUUAGAGUGGCUUUGACUGUUAACAAAUAGCCUAAUGUAAGACUUAACCAACUUCCUGCCCUGUUGUAUGCUUAUGAAUUUUGAUAGAGCUAAGAGUUUGCAGAAGCUAUUGUAUUAUAUGUCGUUAGAGGCUGUAAACAUCAAACACAUUUAAAUUUCAAUGAAAAUUUACUGGAAGUAAAUUUCCUUUGAUCCCACAGGUGACUAAUUAAUGAGAACUUGACAAUGACAAAAGAAAGUGUAUGAACUUUGCAGGCUGGCAUGCCAAUAUUGACUGGGUGGCACCAUCCACCAUCUGCAAGUGAAUAUCAUUGUUGUUUAAUCAACAAGGUGGAGUCCACUGGGACCACACCACAUCGUCAGCCUUAUCUCUAUUCCUCAAUUUUCAGUAUUCCAUACAUCAAAACAAUUUCAGUUUUGUUAUCAAUUAUAAUUUCAUUGUUGGUGACGAUUCUGAUUCCUUUCUUUCUGACAAAACGGAACCAUGGUUGCUGUGGGAGAGAUCUUACUCAACGCCUUCUUUCAGGUGUUGUUUGACAGGUUGGCUUCCCGUGAUUUUCUCAGCUUUGUCCGUCAACUUGGAGGCGGGGUCGAUUCCGAGCUCAAGAAGUGGGAAAGAAAGCUGAAGCUGAUUCAGGCGGUGCUCAACGAUGCAGAGGAGAAGCAACUGACUGACGAGGCUGUGAAGAUGUGGCUGGACGAUCUCCAAGACUUGGCUUAUGACGCUGAGGACAUUCUUGAUGAGUUUGCUACUCAAGCUUUGGAAAGCAAGUUGAUGGCGCACAAUCACGAUAGUUCUGGCCAGGUUCUCAGUUUCAUCCCGGCUGGUUUGAAUCCGAAUGCUAUUAUGUUCAAUUAUAGCAUGGGGUCCAAGAUUAAAGAUAUUACUAGCCGGCUGGAGCAACUCUGCCAAGAAAGAAUUGAACUUGGACUGCAACGGAUUACUGGAGGGGCAUCAUCAACUGCUGCUGCUACACAGCAGAGGCCGUCCAGUUCGAGUGUCCCAACAGAACGUGAAGUAUUUGGAAGAGAAGAAGAUAAGGCCAAAAUUCUUGAUAUGGUACUGGCCGAUACUCCAAGUGUUCAUGCCGACUUUGUUGUAAUACCCAUUGUUGGCAUGGGCGGGAUAGGAAAAACAACUCUCGCUCGGGAGGUUUACAAUGACAAGGCCGUUGGAGAUUCCAAGUUUGAUGUAAAAGCAUGGGUUUGCGUAUCUGACGUCUUUGAUGUUUUGGGCAUCUCAAAGGCACUUCUCGAGUCAAUCACCCGCAGGCCUUGUCUUCUAAACAGUUUAAAUGAAGUGCAGGUUGAAUUGAAAGUAGCUGUGGAUAAGAAAAGAUUCUUGCUGGUCUUAGAUGAUGUUUGGAACGAGGACUACAGCUUGUGGGUAGACUUAAAAGCUCCGUUCCUGGGUGCUGCACCAAACAGUAAGAUGAUCGUCACCACACGGCAUAAAGAUGUGGCCUCAAUAAUGGGACCCAUUGAUCAUUACGGUCUCAAGCCUCUGUUAGAUGAUGAUUGCUGGUCCAUUUUCAUAAAGCAUGCAUUUGAAUCUAGAGAUCUUAACGCACAUCAAAUUUCAGAAUCAUUCCGCAAGAAAGUUGUUGCCAAGUGUGGAGGCUUGGCCCUGGCAGCAAAAACACUCGGAGGCCUUCUGCGUACGACGAGGCUUGAUGCGUGGGAUGAUAUAUUAGAGAGCAAAAUAUGGGAUUUACCUCAACAAAGUGAGGUUCUCCCAGUAUUUAGAUUGAGUUACCAUCAUCUUCCUUCUCAUUUGAAAAGAUGUUUCGCUUACUGUGCAAUCUUUCCAAAAGAUUAUGAAUUCAAUGAGAAGGAGGUGACUUUUUUAUGGAUGGCCGGAGGUAUUAUUCGACAGUCCAGAAGCAAAGAGCGGCUAGAAGAUUGGGGCAGCAAGUGCUUCUAUGAUCUGGUGUCAAGGUCAAUUUUUCAGCAAACAGCAAUCUCUGAUAGUUCUAAAUUUGUAAUGCAUGACCUUAUUCAUGAUCUUGCUGAAUCGGUCUUUGGAGAAACCAUAUUCAGGUUAGAGGAGGCCAAUACUCAGUCAAGAAGAUUUGAAAGGGUUCGUCAUUCUUCCUAUGUUUGUGGUGGACGUGAUGGUAAAAAUAUGUUCGAGGUUUUCAAUGAAAUUGAACGUCUCCGAACAUUCUUGCCAUUACGCUUACGCAUAAGAGGUGGCUCUAAUACUAGUUUCAUAACUCGUACGGUUCUAUCUGAUUUGCUGCCGAAGUUCAAAAUGUUGAGAAUGCUAUCUUUACAAGGAUACCGUAUCGGUGAGUUACCAAUUCCGUUUGAAGAUUUGAGACUUCUAAGGUUCCUCAACCUUGCUGACACUGACAUAAGAAGUUUACCUGAGUCAACAUGCAAAUUGCUGAACUUGGAAAUUUUGAUAUUAAGAAAUUGUUCCCGUUUGAUAAAGCUUCCGCAGAAAAUGAGGAAUUUGAUCAAUUUACGUCACCUCGAUAUAAGAGGUGCGAAGUUGCUGAAGGAGAUGCCAUUCGGAAUGAAAGAGUUGAAGAAGCUUCAAACAUUGUCCAAUUUCAUCGUGGGCAAGGGCGAAACUGCAUCUGGUUUGGAAGAUUUAAAAUGUUUAAACCUUCUUUGUGAU
RNAcentral lists this long non-coding RNA (70351 nucleotides) under Citrus maxima (pomelo). Its description in RNAcentral is "long non-coding RNA (CMAX_LNC000711)". The record is from RNAcentral. Lineage: Eukaryota; Viridiplantae; Streptophyta; Magnoliopsida; Sapindales; Rutaceae.